GCUUUACCAGUUCUCCCAUAAUUUUAUCAAUUUUUUCUGCUUUUGGGAAACAUGGAGUAAUAUAUUAUAGGUAUAUUAUUACCUGAGAGCAUGUGAUUGUUAUUCUGAGAUGAAACAUCAAACAGUCCAAUCUUAGCAACACAUGGCGUCCGGGUAUCCAAAACCACAGUCCACAGACAAUAGCAGACAGUUUUGACACACGAGGAGAAAACGUUCUCUCUCAUCGACGGACAAAGACAACGGAUGAUGUUUCACGCUCUCAGCAUAUGAAAGCCACCUCGGUGUGCCUGUCGCUGCAGUAGAGCCCAGGCUGCUGCUUGUACCCCUGCUUGGACAGCAGCCCGCGCGCCCUCAGCACCAGCUCCUUGUUGCUCACCUUGCCGUCCUUCUCCGCGAGGAUGGCCUGGAUGGCGUUGCUGAGCGCGCCGUAGGACAGGCCCUUGGCGGUCGUCGCGUCCGCCGAGGUCUGGUCGGUCUGGCACCCGCUGAUGAGGACGCCGUUGUGGGGCGCCCUCGCCGCCGUCCCGGCGUACACCUCCUCCACGCCGUGCACCUCCUGCUCCAUGGCCGGCUUCAGCUCCUCCUGCUUGCCCUGCAGCUUGGCCCUCAGCAGCUCCUGUGCCAGCGCGCCCACCAGGCCCACCACGCCGCCGUGCUGCCCCUGCUGCAGCUUCUCCAGCAUCACCUUCAUGAACUUCUUGAUCUUGGGGCUCGCGUCCUCGCCGAAGACGUUGAACAGCGUCAUCCGGAUCGACCCCACCUCGAUGUCCUCCUUCCCCGUCUUCUCCUUGAGCAUCUCGAUGAAUGUCGAGAGGGGCAGCGACCGGUUCUUCACGUGCCCGUCUGUGCCUGAGUCCAGGCUCGGCGCCUCGGCCUCAGCGUCGUCGUCGUCGUAGCUGCUCUGCUGGCCGCCGCGGCGAGGGAGGUGGACUCCUUGGGACUCGAACGCGUCCCGGACGGUCUGUUUGAGGAACGACCGGAAGCCGCCCGAGCCGGAAUCAGACCGCUCUUCCCGUUUGCCUUGCUGCGCCUUGUUCUGCUUUGUGCUGUGGCCAAUCUGCUCCUUGGCCUUGUCAAGCAGGCCACCGCUGUGGCAAGAGUCAGAGACUAUGGUGAACAGGCAGCCAUCUGGGACUUUCUGCACGAGCUCUGUGAAAUCUUGGUCUGCAGUGCAAAGAAGAAAAUUAGAAUGCCAUUGACAGGAAGGGAUGCAAGAUGUUACUGGUUAUUGACCGCUCUACUUCUAUGUAUUGGCUGCCUUCUCGAUAUACUCCCUCCGUUCCAAAAUAUAUGACCCAACUUUGUACUAACUUUAGUACAGAGUUGAGUUAUCCGUUCCAAAAUAUAUGACCCAACUUUGUACUAACUUUAGUACAGAGUUGAGUCAUCUAUUUUGGAACGGAGGGAGUAGUAGGUAAUAUCUGAAAGCUGAGGAUUACCGAAGCACUAGAAUAUUAUCUGCAGAUAGCCAUCACCCAUCAGCUUAACUGCCUAUGAGUUGAAGCAGGCUCAGAACAUUCUAUUGCAGGAAAAGAAAAAACAUGAAUCAGGCAAGCCAACAAGUGGCAGAUUCAAACAUCACCUGGUUGCUGACAUUCAGAUCUUCUGUGAACUUCUUUUUGGUUUCAAAAAUGGACCCUGAUCACUUUUGACACAGUUUGAUUGAUGCUUUUCCACUACAGGUUUAAAUUAACUUGGUACCCUCUGCAUGUCUAGGACUAAACUGGUUUAAGGAAUGCACUUUCUGACCUGCUUCAUGACAAAAUUUGGUAAUGCAACUUAGGUUAGGAGUGUGGAGCCUAGGUCCUGCUGGUACAGCAACAUGUUUCUGCUGGCUUGGCGUUUGCAUGUUUGGAUUGGUACAAAACAGAUGCAACAAACUCUUGUUACUGCCAAAACAAACCAAAUUUCUGUGACUUGCAAAUUUUGGUAGCAUUCAGAAUGGGGCCUUGGUAGCAAAAUAAAUGAGGCCAAAUUGUAUUUACAUUACGAAUUUUGGCAGAAAAAAAUCUUACGUAAAUAGCAUGGUUUAAGACAGUUGAUUGUAUAUCGAAAUAUUUGUGCUAUGUGGUGAAAAAUCUGCAAUCAGUGUUACCACAAUGUACUAUCUGAAAUCAUAGUCACCUAAAAACUAAUCCAAUCAGAAAUGCAGAAAUUACCACAGCGCUAAAUCCGAUAAUUAAGUCGUAAACGUGACAAUGAAUCAAAUAACGUCCCUCUCAGAUCUCACCAACCACACUCGAUUCACUAACCGGUAGUUCGAUUCAGAACAAGUACAGGAGCAACAUGGCACGAGACAAAACGAAAACGGAAAUGGCGUCUCCGGAUCUGCGCUGCGCACCUGUGAUGAGGUUCAUGUCGGAGGGGACGAUGCACUCGUCGAAGCCGGUGUCGUCGUCCUGGCCGGUCUCGGCCGGCAGGCGCGUGCCGUGGCCGCUGUAGUGGAAGAAGAGGGAGUCCCCGGGGCGCGCGUCGGCGACGAGGCGCGCGAGCUCGCGGCGGAUGUUGGCGCCCGUGGGCUGCUGCUGCGGCGCGGCCCGGUCGGCGUCGGAGAGGACGCGGAUGCCGGCGUCUUCGAAGCCGAAGCGGUCGACGAGGCAGCGGCGCAUGCGGGCCACGUCGUUGUGGCAGCCCUUGAGCUCCGCCUUGGUGCCCGCGUAGUUGAUGCCCACCAGCACCGCGCGCUUCCGCCCCAUCCUUGGGUUCGGCUCGGCGGUCGUCGGCGACGGCGUUGGCGGUGGUGCGGCGAGGCGAGGCGGCGGGCCUCGGGGAGUCCGAUGGAUGGAAAUGGCGUGGAUUUGGUGGGGUUUGCUGCUGGGGCUUUUUGUUUUGUUUUGGGUUGGCGCCGGCUGUCUGCUGGCGUUUCCGAUCUGGCAGCUGCUGGGUGGUUGGUGGCCGUGUGCGACCCGGUCGUCGCUUUGUGCUGGGUUGGUCAGCGACGCGGCGGCCGAUAAUAACACUGUGUUCGUAUGCGCACCCAAACCCACGGGCCAUGGCCCAUUCAGUCAUCUCCCUCCCCCCGGGUCCAAAUAUUCCAUAGUCUCUACUAUUAAAUACUAUUAAAGGGGAUCGAACGUCGUGAUGGUUCUACCUCCUUCGAUCCCCACCUCCCUUCGUCAUCCCCUCCAUCGCACGAAGACAAAAACCAACGCAUGCUCCCACCACCCAUCGUCAAAAAAACUGCCGCCACACGCGCACACACACGUCGCACGCCCCCAUCUCUCCCCAAGCCCCCUCGCUCCCGAUCCCGUCUCUGUCGGAGAAAAGCAUCGCCGCCUGUGCUCGCCAUCAAUCCCAUGCGCUGCAUCAUGACCCGAUGUCCCGUGCCGUCUGGAUCUAGGGAAGGGAAUGCCUUACAUCCCGUCCCUUCCGCCCGUCGUCGAAGCGAUAGAGAUAGCAGAGAGAGAGAGAGAGAGAGAGAGAGGAAGGAGCGCAGCGGCGGACCUGCCCUUAGGGCAUCUCCAGCCGUUGCCCCCCCCCCCCAGGACGCAUAAAAAUUGCCCCCUGGGGGCAAGCCGGCGAUACAAUCGGCGCUGGGGGCGGUUUUGCGUCCAGUCGUCGUCCCCAGCUCGCCCCCAGGCGCCGAAAUUGGCCCACUUUGCAGCCCAAUUUCGGCGAAUAAAGGGCCCAUAUGGGCGAGAAUAGGCCCAUAUUCGGCGUGGUUUCGCCGUGUCUCGGCGUUCAAUUAUCAACACAAUUAUUUCUUAUCACAUAUUUCAUCACAGAAAAAUCAAAUACUUCAACAAAAUAGUACAACAACAAAUAGUUCGAUACAAAUUAUAUAGUUCAACAAAUAAAAACUCGUAUUUCAUCACACGGCGUCCCCCUUGAGCUUCCAUAGGUGCUCAAUCAGAUCUUUCUGCAGAUGAUGAUGCACCUGUGGGUCUCGGAUCUCCUGACGCAUACUGAGAUAGGCAGUCCAAGUUGCCGGUAGCUGGUGAUCAACUUUGGCUAGAGGACUCUGCCUGUAGUAUGGUUCAGUGUCAAACACUGGGUCUUCUUGCUCGCUCUCGAUGAUCAUGUUGUGCAAGAUGACACAGCAAGUCAUAAUCUCCCACAUUUGAUCUUUGGACCAGGUCUGAGCGGGGUACCGAACAACAGCGAAUCGAGAUUGGAGCACACCAAAUGCCCGCUCGACAUCCUUCCUGCAAGCCUCCUGAACUUUCGCAAACCAGGCGUUCUUGCCUCCUGCCGCAGGGUUUGAGAUCGUCUUCACAAAUGUCGAUCAUCUCGGAUAGAUGCCAUCUGCUAGGUAGUACCCUUUGUUGUAUUGGUGCCCAUUGAUCUCGAAGUUCACCGGAGGAGAAUGGCCCUCAACGAGCUUGGCAAAAACAGGAGAGCACUGCAGCACGUUGAUGUCAUUGUGAGUUCCUGGCAUACCAAAGAAGGAGUGCCAAAUACAAAGGUCAUGUGUGUCUACCGCCUCAAGCACCACACUACAACCGCCUUUGGCGCCUUUGUACAUCCCCUGCCAACCAAAUGGGCAAUUUUCCAUUUCCAAUGCAUACAGUCGAUGCUUCCAAGCAUCCCAGGAAAUCCUCUUGCUGCAUUCUGGGCUAUGAUCCGAGCAGUGUCUUCCGCAUUGGGUGUUCUCAAGUAUUGUGGCCCAAACACUGCCGCCACUGCCCGACAGAACUUGUAGAAACACUCUAUGCUGGUGGACUCGGCCAUGCGCCCAUAGUCGUCGAGUGAAUCACUGGGAGCUCCAUAUGCAAGCAUCCUCAUCGCUGUCGUGCACUUCUGGAUGGAGGUGAAUCCAAGAGCGCCAGUGCAAUCCAUCUUGCACUUGAAGUAGUUGUUGAACUCCUGGAUGGAAUUCACAAUCCUGAGGAAGAGCUUUCGGCUCAUCCGAUAACGGCGCCGAAAUGUUCUCUCGCCAUGAAGUGGAGCAUCGGUGAAGUAGUCGGAGUAGAGCAUGCAGUAGCCUUGGAGACGAUGCCGGUUCUUUGCUUUCAUCCGCCCCGGCGCCGAGCCACCUCGCCGCGGCUUUUCAUUGCUCGCCAGCAGCUGGCCGAGGGCGGCGAGCACCAUGAGAUGCUCUUCUUCCUGGACGUCGGCCGCGGCUUCCUCCUCCAGCAGCGCGGCGAGCUCUUCCUCCUCAUCCGAGUCCAUCGCCGAGGCAGGCAAAACGCCGAACACCUUGCGCUCGGUGGGCGUGUACCCGCCGUUAAACCGUGCCUCCGCGGCCGAAAAUGCCCAGCUGCUGUGGGAGGGGCUGCCGCGGCGAAGCGCUGCUAUUUUCCGGCUGGGAAUGGCUAUCUAGCGGAGUAGGGCGGCGGCCGUCGCCAGGAUAUAGCUAGUGGUGACCGAGGGCGCGGGGGGUGCGAGGCGAGUCGGGGGAAAAAACCUUGACUUUUCCGCUGUCGGUGUGGGCCAGGCGUGCUUUUCCCUAGCGCCGGAGCCCCCAACUGCUCCCCAGCGCGCCGGGUUCGGCCUGUGACCACCGAGCGGAAAAAGGUCCAAACCGGCGAUUUUCGGCGUCCUGGGAGCGCGACUCGGCCGUUUUUUCGGCGCCGGCGCCGAAAAAAUGGCUUGGAGGGCCCUGUUGGGGGCGCGGCUGGAGAUGCCCUUAGCGCCAUAAAGGAAGAGUGGUGGUGGGGCGGCACCACAGUACUGCUGCUGCUAGGACAACGGGGCUCCUUGUGUAGAGGCAUAAAGGAGGCGGCAGUGUGUCCUUCUGCAGGUCCUCCUCCAUGUCGGUACACUUUUUUUUUAGAAAAGGAGGAUGGCCCCCGGCCUCUGCAUCUGGGAGAUGCAUACGGCCACUUUAUUAAUUAUUCUCGAGGACCUUACAAAGUAUUACAAACAAUAUACCUGAAUCCACCAUCUUGGCAACAUAUGCCACUACUCUUAUUCAUAUGAUGAAGGGAUGCUAGCUGGGCCCCUACCCAAACUACUCACCUAAACCUAACAUCAAAAGCCGGAAGCCCCAGCCGACCCACAUACCGGGUCUGGGGCACAAUCCGGUCAGACACACUCUUGCGUCGUCGCCACCAUCUUCCACAGGUCCGUCUUCAGAUGAUAUUGAGUCUUCUACCUUGUGAAGGCCACAUCAGCCAUCGACGUCACCAUGACGCCAGACAGCUACCUCCUCCUGCGCGAGUCCAUCUCGGCGCAUCGGACGCCGAGCCUCCACGGUGCCAUGCCGCCGAUCUCCGCCGCCAUCAAUGAGUGAGAUGAAGUACCACUCCACCACGGCAAGUACAAGGUGAGGAAGGGCGAGGUCGCCAUCGGAGACACGGCCGGAAGAUAAGCACCGCAGCCACGGAGCUGCAACGCGGUAGAUCAGACGGGCCGCCACCAGGAACCAGACAAACUCGCCAUGCACACCCAGCAUCCCCAGGCCCAAAUCGGCGCCUUCAAGAAGGUGACGACGCUGUGGCGCCGCUGCCGCUUAGCCACCGGGGCUAGGGUUUUCACCCGGGCGUAGGGGAAGGGGGGAGGCAGGGGAGGUAUAGCCUCGGCGCCGCCACCAAGGAGGGAAUGGCGUCCGGGACGCCAUCGACGCCGUGACCGCCACCGGCGGCCAAAGGUUUCCCCCGGCCAAGCACCUUGCCGCCACCUCCGAACCAGCCACAACAUGAGCCAGGCCGGCCGGAGGUCAUGCAUCACGAGCGGAUUAGAUCGCCUCCGAUCUGACGAGGGGAGCCCGGGGCCUCCCCGUGCCACGACCAGCGCCCACCGGGACCUCGCUGCCCGCGCAGCCGAGGGGAUCCGGCCUACCUCACCGACGAGCACUCCCUGCCGUCGGAGUAGUGUCGUCCGCACCAGCGAGGCCGCCGCCUCAGAUCCCACCAGCGCGCGCCACCCGACGCGCCGGCCGCCGAGUUCCGCCGCCGCGCCCGAGGGAGGAACCCCCCGCGGCCCCUACUCCAGGCGAAGGCAGGCGAGAUCCCGCCGCCGCCGGCACCGCGCGAGCUUUGCUCGGCGGCGCCCGCCGGCGGCGGCGGGAGGAGAGGAAGGAGGUGGGGUUGGGUCGGCGGCGGCUAGGGUUGGGCGCCCGGGUCGCCCGCGGGGGGGCGACACGGGGCUGCGGCAGCAAAAAUAUGUCUCCACAUCGGUACACUUGACAUCCACCUUUUCUUCUCCUGCGGCCAGGCAUGUGCAUAUCAUCCUAUGCCAUUGACCCCUCAUCGGCGGAGGUGUGCGAGGAUUUCGUCUCCGAGCAAAAGAGAGGCUCGCCCUCUCCGAUUUCAUAUAAAGAAACCAAGGUCUAGCAGUAACAAGGUCCAGGCUCUUUCGCUAGGAUAUGUGCCGCUCUGUUUGAUAUACAUCGUGACUUUGUGCUCCUUCAUGGUACUCAACAUCUCCUUGAUCACUCCAGUCAACAACCCAUGGACUGAUUUGUUCAAAUCACCAUCAUUCUAGCAAGUUGUUAGUUGUUACCCACGCUAAAUGUAAGCUCUCUGACUGCAGAUUGUAUGCGGCACUCUGGUUACUCAUGAAUUCUUUCUUGUAUUCCAAAAAGAAUCCAUAUCAAUGAUUUUGCAAUAUAAGACAUCCAUAUGAAAUUUUCCUGCAUUUUUCAUUGAAGGAAUAGUAGCUCUGCUGCCUAUAUCAAUAGAAAAAAGUACUAAAUUUUUUAUGUACAGGAAAAACUAAAUUUCCUGCAAUUGCAACCACAAAAUCUAUAGUUUGCUGGUUUCUUUCAAAUAAUAUGCAAUGAUAUUUCCUUUGCGUUCUAAUUUAUUGAUUUUAGAGCUCUCACUUGAUAAAUAUCACAAGGUAGUUUCAGUUGUGAUAUUGAGUGUCCUUUUUGUGAUUUUCAUAUUAUUUUAGUAAUGAGUAGUAACCUUAUAUUGCUAUAUGCAUAUCACAAAUAAGAUCUAUAUUGUUUAUCUCGAACCUGUAAAUAGUUUUAGCUACCUCCAGUUUCAGUAUGAUCACACAUUGCAGGUACAACUUGACUCGUUACUUCUGUGGGCAUGGAAUUGAUUUGCCUCAGGUUUCUAGCUCGCUGAAUUUAUCUUCAUGUUGCCACUGAAGCAUGUUGUUUUCUUGGGAAAAUCAAUAUAGAUAACCAUGGUUUCUCUGUAAUAAUAUAUAUGCCCUGAUCAAUGUAUUAGGAUUGAUUUUUUCAUUACUUCUUGGAUAAUGGAGUAUUCUAAUCAAAAUCAUGCUGACUUUCUAUGUAGCUCACUUGCAUGGGACGUUUAUGACAGCACACAUUGAAGACCAAGUAUAGCAUAUAUAGUUAGUCGGUGAUGUCUCAUGAGAAAAUGUAAGCUAUAUGAACUUAUCAACUCCUAAUUUAUCAUGCAGCGACAGAUCAAUUCUGAUUGGUAUAUGUUAGAAACUCCACUUUGUUAGUUUUGAUAAAAAUAUGUGUGCUAUUAUAUUCUGAAACCAAAGCAUCAAAUCACGUUGGUACCUACCAUGUCCUAUUAAAGUUAAAAAAACUCUGAAAAGAACUCUACACGUAUCAAUUCACAUCAAAAGAAUGACGACGCCAUAUGGAUUGGAAAUUGGUAAUCUUGGAUUGAUAUGUCAUACUCCCUCCGUAAAGAAAUAUAAGAGCGUUUAGAUCACUAAAGUAGUGGUCUAAACGCUCUUAUAUUUCUUUACAGAGGGAGCACAUGACUUGAUUUUUCUGGCAAGUACAUUAAACUUAAUCAGAUAAAGAGGAUCCAUUGUUUUUCACUCGAUAAUAAUUUUUCUCCCGAACACGAAUAGUCUAAAAAAUAAGCAUAUUUUGGCUACUGAAGUAUGUGUGUGUUAAACAAUCCUUAUGUUGUCUCAAAAAUUAUCAUAUUUCUAUUAUAAAAGCGUAGUAGCUGUGUUAUUUUCAUAAAUAUUAGAGCAUCUACAAUCGGACCUCUCAAACGCGACUCAUACGUCCGGGUGGGCCGCCCGGUCGUGAAAAUCGGACUCAGGCGGACACCUCAAACGGGUCUCAAACGCCUGGGCUGACCGGCACCCCUCAUAUCCAGCCCAAAUAUGAGGCGGAUAUGGGGGCGCCCGGGCACGCCCGCCGACCCCGCUGCAGGUCGUACCGGUCCCACCUGCAGCGGCCGAAGCUCCUCCCGCUCCCACCUACAGUGGCUGAACCUCCUCCAUCUCUCAUCGGUGCAAUCAAAUUUUAGUCCCACAUCGCCGGGCGAGGCGGACGCCGCUCGACUUAAAUAGUUGCACUAGCGGAUGGCGGCAAGCUUGGUUGUUGUUGUGUAGGUCUAUCAAUUCUCGCAUGUGUGAUCGUGAUAAAUUUGACACUAGACUGCAUUUCAUUGACUGAUGAUUGUUCAUCGAGUGUCAAGUUUGUCUCGAUCAUAUAUGUUGAUACCUCUACUACAAUGACAGUAGAUUUUUAUUUUAUUUUGAUGCAUGGACGCAUAGUGAUUCAAAAAAAGACACUAUGAAUCUUCUAUGUGAUAAAGAUAGAAGAUUCAUAGUAAGAGUCCAUAUCCUUAACAAAGAAUGCAAUGAUGCCAGAAGCUUAUCCCUUCUGGACAACCUGGUUAUUUAAGUUGGUCGACUAGCUCAUCAGUCAGCGAGGUGGGACUAAUAUGGGUGUGAAAACAUUAAGUAUGAGCAAUUUUUGGUGCCCAGCCGGCCCAAGACGGAUAUGAUGAUCGACGUGCAUGGCCCUGCAUGUAAUAGAUGUUUUAAAAAUAGAAUAUGUGGUUGUAAAUUGUAAAUUUUGAGGUACGCCCGGUUACUUUCCGCGGGCACGUCCGCGGGCGUUUGAGGGUCCAAAUUUGCAACCUCCGGCUGUAGAUGCUAUUAUCCCUCAUUGUACAAAUGUUUCAUUUCUUAGUAACUCACAGUUCAGGUUUUAAUCAAUUACUGACAUUGUCUUCUAUUGUUAAAACUGAAAAUAGAACCUUGACUUGUUUCAGAGCAGGUGGCAGAUAGUUCGAUACUGUAGUACUUUCUCCUAACUUGAUUUAGCAAUGUUUCUUCUAAAUCUAAGUUCUUGCUGUGAAGUUGGUUUAUGAUGUGCUAUGUGUACUUCUAGAAAUUAUUUUUUAUAUAGUAAGCAUAAACAUAAUCUGCCUAUAUAUGUUCCAGGAAACAAUUAUCUGACGAGAAAAAUACACAGGAUGACAUCAAAUGAAUAUUUAAGGGAGCUCCACUUGCAUUGCUCCUUUGUAACUAGGACUAUUGUUUUGUGUUUCCCAUUGUUUUUUUAGUUAGAAGUCUUCCAUAGGUACUCCUUCUGUAACUUAAUAUAAGACUUUUUUUCACACUCAUACUGUCAAAAAACGUCUUGUAUUAAGGUCUGGAGGGAGUAAAAUGUAGUUGUGUUCUCCAUCUUUUGCACACAAUAUAUUUUUGAUUCAUGCUGGUCAUAGCAAUCGUGUUUACUGAGACAUGUCUUUCACAGUUGAAACUUGUUUUACCAUAAUAUGUACUUGUAAUACUUCCCCAUUUGCUGGUGCUAAUUUACAUAAGACAUAUCCUUAGUAAAAUAGGGAUACUAUUAUGUGUAUGCCUUGUCAGAUAUUUGAAGACUUUGUGGUCAUUGAAGGGAACAUCACUAUUGAAAUUCAUCAAGCUUUAAUAUAGUACUUCCUGUAUUUAGAUGUUGUGUUACCUUUUUGAGAUGAUGUAUAUUUCUAGCAUUUUCAAUGUGAAGUUUGUGCGAAACCUGAAACGACAUGUCUGCUUGUUUGAUGCUCCAUUUGAAUAUUUUUGGAAAUUUAACAAGAUUUUUUUCAAGGCUAGAAAGCAAUCAAGGAUCGAACGGAGUAUGCCUUGCAAUCAGUCAUAAUGUAGCACAAAAGAAGAAAAAUUUGUAGUUGUGCUCAUGUUGGACGAUAAAAUGAUAGGGAAAUUAUGUUUUUCAUUUUCAAUUAUAUAACACGACCAAGUUUGUAUCCUUGCCCUCCUUUUGUGUUAUCAUUUUCAAUAUUUGGUUAUCCUUUGAUCAUUGUCCUCCUUACUCAUUUGGGACCAAUGGAGGACACCUUUACCAGGUUGUAGGAAUUUGUGAAAACUAGAUCGGUUCACUUGAAGCACAACCCACAUGUAUGUGAAGAACGUUUUCUUGCAACUAAGUAUUGCUAAUUGACCUUAUCACGAUCGAUUCACUUCUAGACAACAAGCACAAUAAAGCAAGCUCAACACAAUUGUCAAAAAAAAGAAGCAAGCUCAACAUGAUGAGUGGCUCAAAAAAUGAAUGGCAGCGACAGGGAGGACUUUUCCAUGGGUUGGAAAGCAAGGGUGCGAGGCUGCUUCAGUUUUGGGUGAUGCAAGUGCUUGAGGGUGACCCGGAAACAGGUAGCUUUGGGCGGGUGGGGCUAGAAAAGACCGCGGAUGAGGCUACUGAGAGACACAGAGCUCAUCAAUUUCGUGCUCACGUGGUCAAAAAGAUAAAGCACAAAGAGCAGACUCCAUUGUUGCUACUAAGUCAUAAACAACAUAUGACAUGCACAUCACUAUGUAUAUGUUCGUUGUUCCGUGGCAACGCACGGGCAUACAACUAGUUUUUUUUAGGUGACGGAGGCGAACCAGAGAGGAGCAGGGCAUUUUGCACACCGAGCUCCGUGGAGCCCUUAAUUUUGAAAACAUAAAAAUUAAUUUCAAACUUUUCGGUUUCAAAAACUUUUGAAUAAAAUACACAUGUAUACAAGGAUGUAAUGUGUGUGUGUGUGUUAAAUUUCAGGAUGGAAUACCUUCAAUUGCGAGCUGCACAAAAUAAAACAAUAUCAUGGACUUUGAGGAUGAAGAGUGCAUAUGCUAAACAGCCCCAAAUUAGUUUUUUUUGUGUAGCUCUCGGUUUAACGGAUUUUGACAUGAAAAUUUACACACGUGUACAGUAUGUCUCUUUGUAUAUGUGUACUUUUUAGAAUUUUUUCAAACUGAAAAGUUUGAUUUUUGUAGCUUUCAAAUUAAGUCCUCUGUGGAGCUCGGCCUUCAUUUGGGAUAUUUUUUUUUACUAGAGAGGAGUAGGGCAUUUUGGAGACUGAGCUCCAUGAAGCCCUUAAAUCCUUAAUUUUGACGCACUUCACGUCAAUGGCAGAGUGCUUGGAUGGGCCGGCCCACCACAGAGUGAUUUUUUUGCUCAGUUUUUUCUUCAAUUUUCAACUGGUUUUCCUCACAAAACUAGCUGCUAGACCUUUUACAUAGUUAAAAUAAAAAAUCCAAUAUGGAAAUGUUCAGAAAUUCUUUUAAAAAUACAAUUUUUAAAAUUAUUCAUAAUUCAUUUAUAAAAAAACAUGAAUUUUAAAAUAUACCCAUGGAGAACAACAAGAAUAAAAACUUUUAGUCUUCAGCAACGCCGCACCAAGCAUCAUCGAUACGAGGUUGGAGCUGGAGGACGUCUAUUCUAGAUUUAUAUUGUCUAUUUCCCGUGGAAAGAAAUUAAACAAUGAGAUUCACAAUCUUUUGCAUUUAUUAGAAAUUAGUAAUAAGAUCGGGUGAUUUUCUCGGAAUGUCUGGAAUCAUUCAGUUUAAAAAUUUGUAGAAUUAGUGUAAAAAAUACACUCAUCUUCACCGCAUUGACGAUUCCAGGAAACAAUUAAAAAUAAAAGGAAGAGGGGCAAUACCAUUAUACUAUUUUUCAUCCUCACGUGAAAACAUAUAAUGCACAAAUGUUGUUGAGGUGUUCUACAAAUUUCAGAAGUUCAAUGCACAAAGGAGCGGGUUGGUUUGUACUUCACAGAGUCUAGAUGUUCCGAGGAUUCGAAUGUGUACCUCGAGUUGUUUCUUGAUACGUCUCCAACAUAUCUAUAAUUUUUGAUUGCUCCAUGUUAUAUUAUCUACUGUUUUAGGCAAUAUUGGGCUUUAUUUUCCACUUUUAUAUUAUUUUUGGGACUAAUCUAUUAACCGGAGGCCCAGCCCAGAUUUGCUGUUUUAUGCCUAUUUCAGUGUUUUGAAGAAAAAAAGAAAUAUCAGACGGAGUCGAAAUGGAACGAAAUCAACUAGAGAAGUUAUUUUUGGAAGGAAACACACAUGAUGGACUUGGACCCCACAUCAAGGAAGGAACGAGGUGCCCACGAGGGUGGGGCCGCCCCCCCUAGGGCGCGCCCCCUGUCUCGUGGGACCCUCGUGGCUCCCCUGACGUACCUCCUGCACCCAUAUAUACCUACGUAACCUAAAACUUCCAGAACACAAGAUAGAUCAGGAGUUCCGCCGCCAGAAGCCUCCCUAGCCACCAAAAGUCAAUCGGGACUCUGUUUCGGCAUCCUGCCGGAGGGGGGAUCCCUCACUGGUGGCCAUCUUCAUCAUCCCGGUGCUCUCCAUGACGAGGAGGGAGUUGUUGGGGAACGUAGCAGAAUUUUAAAAUUUUCUACGCAUCAUCAAGAUCAAUCUAUGAAGUCAUCUAGCAACGAGGGAAAGGAGAGUGCAUCUACAUACCCUUGUAGAUCGCACGCGGAAGCGUUCAAGAGAACGGGGUUGAUGGAGUCGUACUCGUCGUGAUCCAAAUCACCGAUGACCUAGCGCCGAGCGGACGGCACCUCCGCAUUCAACACACGUACGGUUGGGAAGACGUCUCCUCACAACUUGAUCCAGCAAGGGGGAAGGAGAGGUUGAUGAAGAUCCAGCAGCACGGCGGCGUGGUGGUGGAAGCAACGGUGAUCUCGGCAGGGCUUCGCCAAGCUCAGGGAGAGGGAGGAGUGUCACGGGAGGGAGAGGGAGGCGCCAGGGGCUAGGGUGCGGCUUCCCUCCCUCACCCCCACUAUAUAUAGGACCCCUAGGGGGGCGCCGGCCCUAGGAGAUGCAAUCUCCAAGGGGGGCGCCGGCCAAGGGGGAUGGAGUCCCCCCAAGCCAAGUGGGGCGCCCCCCACCCCUAGGGUUUCCAACCCUAGGCGCAGGGGAAGGCCCAAGGGGGGCGCACCAGCCCACUAGGGGCUGGUUCCCCUCCCACUUUAGCCCAUGGGGCCCUCCGGGAUAGGUGGCCCCACCCGGUGGUCCCGGUAUAAUACUGAUUACCCCCGAAACCUUCCCUAUGGCCGAAACUUGACUUCCUAUAUAUAAAUCUUCACCUCCGGACCAUUCCGGAACUCCUCGUGACGUCCGGGAUCUCAUCCGGGACUCCGAACAACUUUCGGGUUACCGUAUACUAAUAUCUCAACAACCCUAGCGUCACCGAACCUUAAGUGUGUAGACCCUACGGGUUCGGGAGACACGCAGACAUGACCGAGACGACUCUCAGAUCAAUAACCAACAGCGGUAUCUGGAUACCCAUGUUGGCUCCCACAUGCUCCUCGAUGAUCUCAUCGGAUGAACCACGAUAUCGAGGAUUCAAUCAAUCCCGUAUACAAUUCCCUUUGUCAAUCGGUACGUUACUUGCCCGAGACUCGAUCGUCGGUAUCCCAAUACCUUGUUCAAUCUCGUUACCGGCAAGUCACUUUACUCGUACCGUAAUGCAUGAUCCCGUGAUCAACCACUUGGUCACAUUGAGCUCAUUAUGAUGAUGCAUUACCGAGUGGGCCCAGAGAUACCUCUCCGUCGUACGGAGUGACAAAUCCCAGUCUUGAUUCGUGCCAACCCAACAGACACUUUCGGAGAUACCCGUAGUGUACCUUUAUAGUCACCCAGUUACUUGUGACGUUUGGCACACCCAAAGCAAUCCUACGGUAUCCGGGAGUUGCACAAUCUCAUGGUCUAAGGAAAUGAUACUUGACAUUUGGAAAAGCUAUAGCAAACGAACUACACGAUCUUUAAGCUAUGCUUAGGAUUGGGUCUUGUCCAUCACAUCAUUCUCCUAAUGAUGUGAUCCCGUUAUGAAUGACAUCCAAUGUCCAUAGUCAGGAAACCAUGACUAUCUUUUGAUCAACGGGCUAGUCAACUAGAGGCUCACUAGGGACGCGUUGUAGUAUAUGUAUUCACACAUGUAUUACGAUUCCCGGAUAACACAAUUAUAGCAUGAACAAUAGACAAUUAUCAUGAACAAAGAAAUAUAAUAAUAACCAUUUUAUUAUUGCCUCUAGGGCAUAUUUCCAACAGUCUCCCACUUGCACUAGAGUCAAUAGUCUAGUUACAUUGUGAUGAAUCAAACACCCAUGAAGUUCUGGUGUUGAUCAUGUUUUGCUCUAGGGAGAGGUUUAGUCAACGGAUCUGCCACAUUCAGGUCCGUAUGCACUUUACAAAUAUCUAUGUCUCCAUUUUGAACACUUUCAUGAAUGGAGUUGAAGCGACGCUUGAUAUGCCUGGUCUUCCUAUGAAACCUGGGCUCCUUGGCAAGGGCAAUAGCUCCAGUGUUGUCACAGAAGAGAGUCAUCGGGCCCGGCGCAUUGGGAAUGACUCCUAGGUCGGUAAUGAACUCCUUCACCCAGAUUGCUUCUUGUGCUGCCUCCGAGGCUGCCAUGUACUCCGCUUCACAUGUAGAUCCCGCCACAACGCUUUGCUUGCAACUGCACCAGCUUACUGCCCCGCCAUUCAAAAUAUAUACGUAUCCAGUUUGUGACUUAGAGUCAUCCAGAUCUGUGUCGAAGCUAGCAUCGACGUAACCCUUUACGACAAGCUCUUCGUCACCUCCAUAAACUAGAAACAUAUCCUCAGUCCUCUUCAGGUACUUCAGGAUAUUAUUGACCAUUGUCCAGUGUUCCAUGCCGGGAUUACUUUGGUACCUUCCUACCAAACUUACGGCAAGGUUUACAUCAGGUCUGGUACACAACAUAGCAUACAUGAUAGACCCUAUGGCUGAGGCAUAGGGGACGACACUCAUCUUUUCUCUAUCUUCUAUCGUGGUCGGGCAUUGAGCUGUGCUCAAUCUCGUACCUUGCAAUACAGGCAAGAACCCCUUCUUUGACUGAUCCAUAUUGAACUUCUUCAAUAUCUUGUCAAGGUAUGUACUCUGUGAAAGACCAAUGAGGCAUCUCGAUCUAUCUCUAUAGAUCUUGAUGCCUAAUAUAUAAGCAGCUUCUCCAAGAUCCUUCAUUGAAAAACACUUGUUCAAGUAGGCCUUUAUGCUUUCCAAGAAUUCUAUAUCAUUUCCCAUCAAUAGUAUUUCAUCCACAUACAAUAUGAGAAAUGCUACAGAGCUCCCACUCACUUUCUUGUAAAUGCAGGCUUCUCCAUAAGACUGUGUAAACCCAAAUGCUUUGAUCGUCUCAUCAAAAUGAAUGUUCCAACUCCAAGAUGCUUGCACCAGCCCGUAGAUCGAGCGUUGGAGCUUGCACAUCUUGCCAGCAUUCUUAGGAUCGACAAAAUCUACCGGCUGCAUCAUAUACAAUUCUUCCUUAAGGAAACCAUUAAGGAAUGCCGUUUUGACAUCCAUUUUGCCAUAUCUCAUAAUCAUAGAAUGCGGCAAUUGCUAACAUGAUUCAGAUAGACUUCAGCUUCGCUACGGGUGAGAAAGUCUCAUCGUAGUCAACCCCUUGAACUUAUCGAUAACCCUUAGCGACAAGCCGAGCUUUAUAGAUGGUUACAUUACCAUCUGUGUCUGUCUUCUUCUUAAAGAUCCAUUUAUUUUCUAUGGCUCACCGAUCAUCGGGCAAGUCAGUCAAAGUCCAUACUUUGUUUUCAUACAUGGAUCCUAUCUUGGAUUUCAUGGCUUCCAGCCAUUUGUCGGAAUCCGGGCCUGCCAUCGCUUCUUCAUAGUUCGAAGGUUCACCGUUGUCUAACAACAUGAUUUCCAAGACAGGGUUGCCGUACCACUCUGGUGCGGAACGUGUCCUUGUGGACCUAUGAAGUUCAGUAGCAACUUGAUCUGAAGUUUCAUGAUCAUCAUCAUUAACUUCCUCUCUAGUCAGUGCAGGAACCUCAGGAACAAUUUCCUGAGCUGCGCCACUCUCCGGUUCAAGAGGUAAUACUUCAUCAAGUUCUACUUUCCUCCCACUUAUUUCUUUCGAGAGAAACUCUUUCUCUAGAAAGGAUCCAUUCUUGGCAACAAAGAUCUUGCCUUCGGAUCUGAGGUAGAAGGUAUGCCCAAUAGUUUCUUUAAGGUAUCCUAUGAAGACACAUUUUUCCGACUUGGGUUCGAGCUUUUCAGGUUGAAGUUUCUUGACAUAAGCAUCGCAUCCCCAAACUUUUAGAAACGACAACUUAGGUUUCUUCCCAAACCAUAAUUCAUACGGUGUCGUCUCAACGGAUUUCGACGGAGCCCUAUUUAAAGUGAAUGCGGCAGUCUCUAAAGCAUAGCCCCAAAAUGACAACGGUAAAUCGGUAAGAGACAUCAUAGAUUGCACCAUAUCCAAUAGAGUGCGAUUACGACGUUCGUACACACCAUUACGCUGAGGUGUUCCAGGCGGCGUGAGUUGUGAAACUCUUCCACAUUUCCUUAAGUGUGUGCCAAAUUCGUGACUCAAGUAUUCUCCCCCACGAUCUGAUCGCAAGAACUUGAUUUCUCUGUCACGUUGAUUCUCAACCUCACUCUGAAAUUCCUUGAACUUUUCAAAGGUCUCAAACUUGUGUUUCAUUAAGUAGACAUACCCAUAUCUACUCAAGUCAUCAGUGAGGGUGAGAACAUAAAGAUAGCCACCGCGAGCCUCAACACUCAUUGGACCACACACAUUAGUAUGUAUGAUUUCCAAUAAGUUGGUUGCUCGCUCCAUUGUUCCUGAGAACGGAGUCUUGGUCAUUUUACCCAUGAGGCAUGGUUUGUACGUGUCAAAUGAUUCAUAAUCAAGAGACUCCAAAAGCCCAUCUGCAUGGAGCUUCUUCAUGCGUUUGACACCUAUGUGACCAAGGCGGCAGUGCCACAAGUAUGUGGGACUAUCAUUAUCAACCUUACAUCUUUUGGUAUUCACAAUAUGAAUAUGUGUAACAUUACGCUCGAGAUUCAUUAAGAAUAAACCAUUCACCAGCGGAGCAUGACCAUAAAACAUAUCUCUCGUAUAAAUAGAACAAACAUUAUUCUCGAAUUUAAAUGAGUAUCCAUAUCAAAUUAAACGAGAUCCUGAUACAAUGUUCAUGCUCAAAGCUGGCACUAAAUAACAAUUAUUGAGGUUUAAAACUAAUCCCGUAGGUAAAUGUAGAGGCAGCGUGCCGACGGCGAUCACAUCGACCUUGGAACCAUUCCCGACGCGCAUCGUCACCUCAUCCUUCGCCAGUCUCCGCUUAUUCCGCAGCUCCUGCUUUGAGUUACAAAUGUGAGCAACCGCACCGGUAUCAAAUACCCAGGAGCUACUACGAGUACUGGUAAGGUACACAUCAAUUACAUGUAUAUCACAUAUACCUUUAGUGUUGUCGGCCUUCUUGUCCGCUAAGUAUUUCGGCCAGUUCCGCUUCCAGUGACCACUUCCCUUGUAAUAAAAACACUCAGUCUCGGGCUUGGGUCCAUUCUUUGGCUUCUUCCCGGCAUCUUACUUACCGGGCGCGGCAACCCCCUUGCCAUCCUUCUUAAAGUUCUUCUUACCCUUGCCUUUCUUGAACUUAGUGGUUUUAUUCACCAUCAACACUUGAUGUUCCUUUUUGAUUUCCACCUCUGCUGAUUUCAACAUUGAAUAUACCUCAGGAAUGGUCUUUUCCAUCCCCUGCAUAUUGAAGUUCAUCACAAAGCUCUUGUAGCUCGGUGGAAGCGACUGAAGGAUUCUGUCAAUGACCGCGUCAUCCGGGAGAUUAACUCCCAGCUGAGUCAAGCGGUUAUGCAACCUAGACAUUUUGAGUAUGUGCUCACUGACAGAACUAUUUUCCUCCAUCUUACAACUGAAGAACUUGUCGGAGACUUCAUAUCUCUCGACCCGGGCAUGAGCUUGGAAAACCAUUUUCAGCUCUUCGAACAUCUCAUAUGCUCCGUGUCUCUCAAAACGCUUUUGGAGGCCCGGUUCUAAGCUGUAAAGCAUGCCGCACUGAACGAGGGAGUAAUCAUCAGCAGGUGACUGCCAAGCGUUCAUAACAUCUUGGUUCUCUAGGAUGUGCGCGUCACCUAGCGGUGCUUCUAGGACAUAAUCUUUCUUGGCAGCUAUGAGGAUGAUCCUCAGGUUCCGGACCCAGUCCGUAUAGUUGCUGCCAUCAUCUUUCAGCUUGGUUUUUUCUAGGAACGCGUUGAAGUUGAGGGCAACAUUAGUGUGGGCCAUUUGAUCUACAAGACAUAGUGUAAAGAUUUUAGACUAAGUUCAUGAUAAUUAAGUUCAUCUAAUCAAAUUAUUCAAUGAACUCCCACUCAGAUAGACAUCCCUCUAGUCAUCUAAGUGAAACAUGAUCCGAGUCAACUAGGCCGUGUCCGAUCAUCACGUGAGACGGACUAGUCAACAUCGGUGAACAUCUUCAUGUUGAUCGUAUCUUCUAUAUGACUCAUGCUCGACCUUUCAGUCUUCCGUGUUCCGAGGCCAUGUCUGUACAUGCUAGGCUCGUCAAGUCAACCUAAGUGUAUUGCGUGUGUAAAUCUGGCUUACACCUGUUGUAUUCGAACGUUAGAAUCUAUCACACCCGAUCAUCACGUGGUGCUUAGAAACAACGAACCUUUGCAACGGUGCACAGUUAGGGGGAACACUUUCUUAAAAUUAUUACGAGGGAUCAUCUUAUUUAAGCUACCGUCGUUCUAAGCAAAUAAGAUGUAAAACAUGAUAAACAUCACAUGCAAUCAAAUAGUGACAUGAUAUGGCCAAUAUCAUUUGCUCCUUUUGAUCUCCAUCUUCGGGGCUUCAUGAUCAUCGUUGUCACCGGCAUGACACCAUGAUCUCCAUCAUCGUGUCUUCUUGAAGUUGUCUCGUCAUCUAUUACUUCUACUACUAUGGCUAAUGCUUUAGCAAUAAAGUAAAGUAAUUACAUGACGCUUAUGUUGACACGCAGGUCAUAAAUAAAUAAAGACAACUCCUAUGGCUCCUGCCGGUUGUCAUACUCAUCGACAUGCAAGUCAUGAUACCUAUUACAAGAACAUGAUCAAUCUCAUACAUCACAUAUAUCAUUCAUCACAUCCUUUUGGCAUAUCACAUCACACAGCACAUGCUGCAAAAACAAGUUAGACGUCCUCUAAUUGUUGUUGCAAGUUUUUACGUGGCUGCUAUAGGUUUCUAGCAAGAACAUUUUUUACCUACGCCAAAACCACAACGUGAUAUGCCAAUUUAUAUUUACCCUUCAUAAGGACCCUUUUCAUCGAAUCUGAUCCGGCUAAAGUGGGAGAGACAGACACCCGCCAGCCACCUUAUGCAACUAGUGCAUGUCAAUCGGUGGAACCAGUCUCACGUAAGCGUACGUGUGAGGUCGGUCCGGGCCGCUUCAUCCCACGAUGCCGCCGAAUCAAGAUAAGACUAGUAACGGCAAGCAAAUUGACAAUAUCCACGCCCACAACUCCUUUGUGUUCUACUCGUGCAUAGAAACUACGCAUAGACCUAGCUCAUGAUGCCACUGUUGGGGAACGUAGCAGAAUUUUAAAAUUUUCUACGCAUCACCAAGAUCAAUCUAUGGAGUCAUCUAGCAACGAGGGAAAGGGGAGUGCAUCUACAUACCCUUGUAGAUCGUGCGCGGAAGCGUUCAAGAGAACGGGGUUGAUGGAGUCGUUCUCGUCGUGAUCGAAAUCACCGAUGACCUAGCGCCGAAUGGACGGCACCUCCGCAUUCAACACACGUACGGUUGGGAAGACGUCUCCUCCAACUUGAUCCAGCAAGGGGGAAGGAGAGGUUGAUGAAGAUCCAGCAGCACGACGGCGUGGUGGUGGAAGCAACGGUGAUCUCGGCAGGGCUUCGCCAAGCUCAGGGAGAGGGAGGAGUGUCACGGGAGGGAGAGGGAGGCGCCAGGGGCUAGGGUGCGGCUGCCCUCCCUCACCCCCACUAUAUAUAGGACCCAUAGGGAGGGCGCCGGCCCUAGGAGAUGCAAUCUCCAAGGGGGGCGGCGGCCAGGGGGGGUGGAGUGCCCCCCAAGCUAAGUGGGGCGCCCCUGCCCCUAGGGUUUCCAACCCUAGGCGCAGGGGAAGGCCCAAGGGGGGCGCACCAGCCCACUAGGGGCUGGUUCCCCUCCCACUUUAGCCCAUGGGGCCCUCCGGGAUAGGUGGCCCCACCCGAUGGACCCCCGGGACCCUUCCGGUGGUCCCGGUACAAUACCGAUUACCCCCGAAACCUUCCCGAUGGCCGAAACUUGACUUCCUAUAUAUAAAUCUUCACCUCCGGACCAUUCUGGAACUCCUCGUGACAUCCGGGAUCUCAUCCAGGACUCCAAACAACUUUUGGGUUAUCGUAUACUAAUAUCUCAACAACCCUAGCGUCACCGAACCUUAAGUGUGUAGACCCUACGGGUUCGGGAGACACGCAGACAUGACCGAGACGACUCUCCGGUCAAUAACCAACAGCGGGAUCUGGAUACCCAUGUUGGUUCUCACAUGCUCCUCGAUGAUCUCAUCGGAUGAACCACGAUAUAGAGGAUUCAAUCAAUCCCGUAUACAAUUCCCUUUGUCAAUCGGUACGUUACUUGCCCGAGACUCGAUCGUCGGUAUCCCAAUACCUUGUUCAAUCUCGUUACCGGCAAGUGACUUUACUCGUACCAUAAUGCAUGAUCCCGUGAUCAACCACUUGGUCACAUUGAGGUCAUUAUGAUGAUGCAUUACCCAGUGGGCCCAGAGAUACCUCUUCGUCAUACGGAGUGACAAAUCCCAGUCUCGAUUCGUGCCAACCCAACAGACACUUUCGGAGAUACCCGUAGUGUACCUUUAUAGUCACCCAGUUACGUUGUGACGUUUGGCACACCCAAAGCACUCCUACGGUAUCCGGGAGUUGCACAAUCUCAUGGUCUAAGGAAAUGAUAUUUGACAUUCGGAAAAGCUAUAGCAAACGAACUACACGAUCUUUAAGCUAUGCUUAGGAUUGGGUCUUGUCCAUCACAUCAUUCUCCUAAUGAUGUGAUCCCGUUAUCAAUGACAUCCAAUGUCCAUAGUCAGGAAACCAUGACUAUCUUUUGAUGAACGGGCUAGUCAACUAGAGGCUCACUAGGGACGUUUGUGGUCUAUGUAUUCACACAUGUAUUACGAUUUCCGGAUAACACAAUUAUAGCAUGAACAAUAGACAAUUAUCAUGAACAAAGAAAUAUAAUAAUAACCAUUUUAUUAUUGCCUCUAGGGCAUAUUUCCAACAGGAGUAGUUCUCCCUCGGGGCUGAGGGUAUGUACCAGUAGCUAUGUGUUUGAUCUCUCUCUCUCUCUCGUGUUCUUGAGACGAUACGAUCUUGAUGUAUCGCGAGCUUUGCUAUUAUAGUUGGAUCUUAUGUUUCUCCUCCCCCUCUUAUCUCUUGUAAUGAAUUGAGUUUCCUCUUUGAAGUAAUCUUAUCGGAUUGAGUCUUUAAAGACUUGAGAACACUUGACGUAUGCCUUGCCGUGGAUAUCUGUGGUGACAAUGGGAUACCACGUGCCACUUGAUGUAUGUUAAGGUGAUCAACUUGCGGGUUUCGUGACAUUGGGAACCUAUGCAUAGGGGUUGGCACAUGUUUUUGUCAUGAUUCUCCGGUAGAACUUUGGGGCACUCUAUGAGGUUCUAUGUGUUGGUUGAAUAGAUGAAUCUGAGAUUGUGUGAUGCAUAUCGUAUAAUCAUACCCAUGGAUACUUGAGGUGACAUUGGAGUAUCUAGGUGACAUUAGGGUUUUGGUUGAUUUGUGUCUUAAGGUGUUAUUCUAGUACGAACUCUAGGGCUGUUUGUGACACUUAUAGGAAUAGCCCACCGAAUUGAUUGGAAAGAAUAACUUUGAGGUGGUUUCGUACCCUACCAUAAUCUCUUCGUUUGUUCUCCGCUAUUAGUGAAUUUGGAGUGACUCUUUGUUGCAUGUUGAGGGAUAGUUAUGUGAUCCAAUUAUGUUAGUAUUGUUGAGGGAACUUACACUAGCGAAAGUAUGAACCCUAGGCCUUGUUUCCUAGCAUUGCAAUACCGUUUACACUCACUUUUAUCACUUGCUACCUUGCUGUUUUUAUUAUUUCAGAUUACAAAAUCUAUUAUCUACUAUCCAUAUACCACUUGUAUCACCAUCUCUUCGCCGAACUAGUGCACCUAUACAAUUUACCAUUGUAUUGGGUGUGUUGGGGGCACAAGAGACUCUUUGUUAUUUGGUUGCAGGGUUGCUUGAGAGAGACCAUCUUCAUCCUACUCCUCCUACGGAUUGAUAAACCUUAGGUCAUCCACUUGAGGGAAAUUUGCUACUGUCCUACAAACCUCUGCACUUGGAGGCCCAACAACGUCUACAAUAAGAAGGUUGUGUAGUAGACAUCAAGCUCUUUUCUGGCGCCAUUGCUGGGGAGGUGAGUGCUUGAAGGUAUAUCUUUAGAUCUUGCAAUCGAGUCUUUUAGUUUCUUGUUUUAUCACUAGUUUAGUUUAUAAAAGAAAAUUACAAAAAAAUGGAAUUAAGUUUGCCUCAUACGCUUCAUCUUUUUAAUAUCUUUCGUGAGUAUGAUGGAAAGGAUAAUUGUGCUCAAGUGCUAGAAGAAGAAAUCUAUAAAAUGUUUGGCACUAAAUAUUUGAAUGAUGAGCAUGAUUGCAAUGUUGUUAGUACGAAUUCUUUAAAUAUCCAUGAUGCUAAUGAUGAUUGCACUAGUUAUGAUGAAAAUGUCUCUUAUAAACAUCUCAAUUUUUGUGGAGUAGACUGGGUUUGCAAGUACACACCAAAUAGGGAAGGUAGAUAUUGCAAGAGGCAUAAGUACUUAGAAACCAAAUUGUUGCAAGAAGAGCUAGAUGAAUGUGCUGAAAAAUUCAAUAUUUUUCGUGCCCCUUGUGAACUUUGCAAUGAACAUGGUCAUUUAAAGCUCCAAUGCUAUUUGUUUCAUGAUCAAGUCGUGUCCAAACAUUGUGAUAAUUUGAUUACCCUUGAGCAUCAUAAAGAGCUUAGCCUUCUUUUGGAUUAUGAAGAAAUGAAACGUAUAACUGAGGGUAUUCCAAAGUUUAAUCUUGAUAAAGUUCUUCAUUUUGAUCUAGAAAAGAUUUAUAUGUAUUGUGCGGUGAAUUGCAUUGAAAAUCCUUAUAUUGCCAAUUACAUAAAGAAAAGAAAACAAAUAGAAGAUGAAGAGAAUACUAAUGAAAGGGAAGAGACUUCCCAAUACCCUCCUAUUAUUUCUUAUGAUGAAUCAGGUAACGAGGAAGAGCCUCCUAUUCAACCAAUCUCAUUAAUAAGGAGCUCCAAAAAGAGGAUUGAACCCACACAUGAUGUGGUGAAGAAGAAGAAAAGAAAAAGGAAGAGAGGUAAAAAGAUAUCUCUCCCAAAUAAAGUUGCUCCUAUUAUUGUUGUGCCUCAUGAAAAUGAAGAUGAUACACUUUAUGAUGAUCUCGUUAUGCCUAUUGCUUGUUGUGAUGAUUAUGAUUGGGAAGAUAAUGAUAAUUCUUAUGAUCUUGAAAAUAUUUUUGGUACUUGCUUGGAAGAAUAUGAUAAUAAUGUUUGCUAUACUAUUGGUGUUAUCCAUAUUAUUAAUGAUGAGAGUGAUUAUGCUUAUGAUAUGAAAAGGCCCAAGCUUAGGGAAGCUAUGUUUGAUGUGGAUGACAUAUUUGAGAAUAUAUUUGCUGCGAUUUAUGUUUGUCCCAAGCUUGGGGAUGCUAUGUUUAAUAAUGAUGAUAUUUUUAGCCUUCCAUGUUUUGAUAUGCAAAGUGAUUAUGAUGAGAACAAAGUUGCUACUUAUGAUGAUUAUUGUGAUAAAACUUAUGCUAUAAAGAGUAGUGAUGAUUAUAUUUAUAAAACUUGUCAUGAUUAUGAGUACCCUUUCUCUGAACAUUACUCCUUUAACGUGGAAACAAUUUAUAGUAUUUGAGUCUCUUAUGAUACUCCCACUAUUAUUCAUGAGAAGAAUCUUGCUUGUGUGGAGAGUAGUAAAAUUUCUAUGCUUGUAGAUCAUGAAAAGAAUGCUUUAGGUGCUGGUUAUAUUGUUGAAUUCAUUCAUGAUGCUACUGAAAAUUAUUAUGAGGGAGGAAUAUAUGCUUGUAGGAAUUGCAAUAAUAUCAAGUUUCCUCUCUAUGUGCUUAAAGUUUUGAAGUUAUGCUUGUUUUACCUUCCUAUGCAAGUUGAUUCUUGUCCCCACAAGUUGUUUGCUCACAAAAUCCCUAUGCAUAGGAAGUGGGUUAGGCUUAAAUGUGCUAGUCAUAUUUUUCAAGAUGCUCUCUUUAUGUUUCGAUUCUUAUCUUUUAUGUGAGCAUCAUUGAAAUCAUCAUGCCUAGCUAGGGGCAUUAAACGAUAGCGCUUGUUGGGAGGCAACCCAAUUUAAUUUUUGUUCCUUGCUUUUGUUCCUGUUUUAGUAAUAAAUAAUUCAUCUAGCCUCUUUUUAGAUUUAGUUUUAUGUGUUUAAUUAGUGUUUGUUCCAAGUAGAACCUUUUGUAAGACUUGGGGAAAGUCUUGUUGAUCAUGCUGUCAAAGACAAAAACUUCAGCGCUCACGAGAACUGCUGCCAUUUUUAUUUGGAGAGUGCUAUUUAGUUAGUUCUUUUUGAAGAUCAUUAAUAGAUAAAUUCCUCAGGUCCAGCAAUUUAUUUGAGAAUUUUAUGAGUUCCAGAAAUAUACUUUGAUCUAGAUUACUACAGACUGUUCUGUUUUUGACAGAUUCUGUUUUUCAUGUGUUGUUUACUUAUUUUGAUGAAUCUAUGGCUAGUAAAAUAGUUUAUAAACCAUAGAGAAGUUGGAAUACAGUAGGUUUAACACCAAUAUAAAUAAAUAAUGAGUUCAUUACAGUACCUUGAAGUGGUGAUUUAUUUUCUUAUACUAACGGAGCUUACGAGUUUUCUGUUAAGUUUUGUGUUGUGAAGUUUUCAAGUUUUGGGUAAAGAUUCGAUGGACUAUGGAAUAAGGAGUGGAAAGAGCCUAAGAUUGGGUAUGCCCAAGUCACCCCAAGGUAAUAUUCAAGGAUAGCCAAGAGCCUAAGCUUGGGGAUGCCCCGGAAGGCACCCCCUCUUUCGUCUUCGUUCAUCGGUAACUUUACUUGGGGCUAUAUUUUUAUUCACCACAUGAUAUGUGUUUUGCUUGGAGAGUCAAUUUAUUUUGUUAGGAUUUGCUUGCUGUUAUUUAGAAAAAUGUUUUGCAUCUUUUAUUUCAAUAAAAGUGGCAUUGAUAGCCUUUACUAUGCCUAUGUUACAAGUAUACAUGUUGCUGUUUGAAAACAGAAAGUUUACCGCUGUUGCAAUAAUUCCCUAGAAAAUUCAGAAUGUGAUAAAAUGUUGAAACCUUUUGCAUAUUAAGCUAUGAUAAAUUUACUACAUUGGGAAUUUUAUGUCAUAAUUUUUGAAUCUAGGGAAGUAUGGAUGUUGCAGCAUUCUUUACAGACUAUCCUGUUUAGGCAGAUUACUGUUAUGUUUGCGUUGUUUGCAUAUGUUUGCUUGUUUAAUGAUUCUAUUUGAGGAUAGGACUAUUAUGCAGAGGCAUUUAGUAUGCAAUGUAGAAUAAUAAUUUUAGUGAUUUGCUACAGUAGAGUAUUUUAAGGUUUUUGCAAUGGUUUAUACUAACUUAUCUCACGAGUCCUUGUUGAGUUUUGUGUGGAUGAAGCUUUUGAGAUUUAGGGAGACCAUGAUAUGAGAGGAAUUAAGGAGACACAAAAGCUCAAUCUUGGGGAUGCCCAAGGCACCACAAGAUAAUAUUUCAAGAAGUCUCAAGCGUCUAAGCUUGGGGAUGCCCCGAUUGGCAUUCCACCUUUCUUCUUCAACAACUAUCAGUUAGUAUCGGUUGAUCCUAAGUUUUUGCUUCUUCACAUGAUGUUUGCCAUUCUUAGAAUGUCAUUUUGUUUUGCUUUGCUUGCUGUUUGAAUAAAAUACCAAGAUCUGAAAUUAUUAAAUGUUAGAGAGUCUUCACAUAGUUGAUAAUUAUUCAACUACUCAUUGAUCUUCACUUAUAUCCUUCGGAGUAGUUUGUCAUUUGCUCUAGUGCUUCACUUAUAUCUCUUAGAGCAUGGUGGUAGUUUUAUUUUGAAGAAAUAGAUGAACUCUCAUGCUUCACUUAUAUUAUUUUGAGAGUCUUAAAUAGCAUGGUAAUUUGCUUAAAAUCCUAAUAUGCUAGGUAUUCAAGAAUAAUAAAAAUUCUCUUAUGAGUGUGUUGAAUACUAGGAGAAGUUUGAUACUUUAUAAUUGUUUUGAGAUAUGGAGAUGGUGAUAUUAGAGUCAUGCUAGUUGGGUAGUUGUGAAUUUGAGAAAUACUUGUGUUGAAGUUUAUGAUUCCCAUAGCAUGCACGUAUGGUGAACCGUUAUGUGACGAAGUCAGAGCAUGAUUUAUUUAUUGAUUGUCUUCCUUAUGAGUGGCGGUCGGGGACGAGCGAUGGUCUUUUCCUACCAAUCUAUCCCCCUAGGAGCAUGCGCGUAAUACUUUGCUUUGAUAACUUCUAGAUUUUUGCAAUAAGUAUAUGAGUUCUUUAUGACUAAUGUUGAGUCCAUGGAUUAUACGCACUCUCACCUUUGCUAGCCUCGCUAAUACCGCGUACCUUUCGCCGGUAUCAUACAUCUAUCAUAUACCUUCCUCAAAACAGCCACCAUAACUACCUAUUAUGGCAUUUCCAUAGCCAUUCCGAGAUAUAUUGCCAUGCAACUUUCCACCAUCUAGUUCAUCGUGACACAUUCAUUAUUGUCAUAUUGCUUAGCAUGAUCAUGUAGUUGACAUAGUAUUUGUGGCAAAGCCACUGUUCAUAAUUCUUUCAUACUUGUCACUCUUGAUUCAUUGCAUAUCCCGGUACACCGCCGGAGGCAUUCAUAUAGAGUCAUACUUUGUUCUAGUAUCGAGUUGUAUCAUUGAGUUGUAAAUAAAUAGAAGUGUGAUGAUCAUCAUUCAAUAGAGCAUUGUCCCAAAAAAAGAGAAAGGCCAUAAAAAAGGGCCAAAAUAAAAAAAUAAAAAAAUAAAAGGGGCAAUGCUACUAUUCCUUUUUCCACACUUGUGCUUCAAAGUAGCAUCAUGAUAUAGCGAGUCUCAUAUAUUGUGCUUCAAAAUAGCACCAUGUUCUUCAUAUAGAGAGUCUCAUAUGUUGUCACUUUCAUAUACUAGUGGGAAUCUUCCAAUGAUGGGCUUCCUCAAAAUGCCCUAGGUCUUCAUGAGCAAGCAAGUUGGAUGCACACCCACUAGUUUUUUUUGUUGAGUUUUCAUACAUUUAUAGCUCUAGUGCAUCCGUUGCAUGACAAUUCCUACUAACUCACAUUGAUAUCUAUUGAUGGGCAUCUCCAUAGCCCGUUGAUACGCCUAGUUGAUGUGAGACUAUCUUCUCCCUUUUUGUCUUCUCCACAACCACCAUUCUAUUUCACCUAUAGUGCUAUGUCCAUGGCUCACGCUCAUGUAUUGCAUGAAGAUUGAAAAAGUUUGAGAAUAUCAAAAGUAUGAAACAAUUGCUUGGUUUGUCAUCGGGGGUGUGCAUGAUUUAAAUAUUUUGUGUGGUGAAGAUGGAGCAUAGCCAGACUAUAUAAUUUUGUAGGGAUAACUUUCUUUGGCCAUGAUAUUUUGAGAAGACAUAACGAAAAUCCAAAUCUGAGCCCGAGCUCAUCUGCACCUGCGCUCACCAAAAAAAUCAAAAUAAAUACUAAAAGAAUUCAAAAAAUUCCGAAAAAAAUUGGGGUGGUGGACAAUUUGAUGCGUGAGGUGCGCCCUAAUUUUCAAAACAUUUGGACUUAUGUGCAGCUCUCAGCAAAAAAGACAAAUCGGAGGUCUGUAAAAAUGUGUACUGUUCAUAUACUGUUUUGGUCUGAUUUGUCUUUUUUGCUGAGAGCUGCACAUAAGUCCAAAUGUUUUGAAAAUUGGGGCGCACCUCACGCAUCAAAUUGUCCACCACCUCAAUUUUUUUUAGGAAUUUUUUGAAUUUUUCUGAAAUUUUUACGGUUUUUUUUGAACGGGUGCAGAUGCACCCGGGCACCGAAACGCCGCACUCAAGACAUAAUUGCUUUAUUAGUAUGCUUAAAGUAUUAUUAUUUUUAUGUCAAUAUGAACUUUUGUCUCGAAUCUUUCGGAUCUGAAUAUGCAUAUCACAAGUAAUAAGAAUUACAUGAAAAUUAUGCCAACUAGCAUUCAACUUCAAAAAUUAUCUUUUUAUCAUUUACCUACUCGAGGACGAGCAGGAAUUAAGCUUGAGGAUGCUUGAUACGUCUCCAACGUAUCUAUAAUUUUUGAUUGCUCCAUGCUAUAUUAUCUACUGUUUUAGGCAAUAUUGGGCUUUAUUUUCCACUUUUAUAUUAUUUUUGGGACUAACCUAUUAACCGGAGGCCCAGCCCAGAUUUGCUGUUUUAUGCCUAUUUCAGUGUUUUGAAGAAAAGGAAUAUCAGACGGAGUCGAAACGGAACGAAAUCAACUGGAGAAGUUAUUUUUGGAAGGAAACACACCUGAUGGACUUGGACCCCACGUCAAGGAAGGAACGAGGUGCUCACGAGGGUGGGGGCGCGCCCCUGUCUCGUGGGACCCUCGUGGCUCCCCUGACGUACCUCCUGCACCCAUAUAUGCCUACGUGACCUAAAACUUCCAGAACACAAGAUAGAUCGGGAGUUCCGCCGCUAGAAGCCUCUGUAGCCACCAAAAGUCAAUCGGGACCCUGUUCCGGCACCCUGCCGGAGGGGGGAUCCCUCACCGGUGGCCAUCUUCAUCAUCCCGGUGCUCUCCAUGACGAGGAGGGAGUAGUUCUCCCUCGGGGCUGAGGGUAUGUACCAGUAGCUAUGUGUUUGAUCUCUCUCUCUCUCGUGUUACUGUCCUACAAACCUCUGCACUUGGAGGCCCAACAAUGUCUACAAGAAGAAGGUUGUGUAGUAGACAUCAUUUCUCAAGCAGCCAUCUCUAUGGUCGAAGAGGGUCGUUUAACUCCAUGUAAGCAUUGCAUGCCCAAAAUACGUUAGCAACUCACGGCAAAACACAUAGACGCUAUCCUCUGACAUUGUGGCCGGACUCUUUCCUAGUUUUAUUUUCAAAUUUUGUGCACCUCUCAGUUUAAUGUAUUUUGACCUGAAAAUUUUCACACAUGUACAGUAUGUCUCGUGAUAUAUGUGUAUCUUUUAGAAAUUUCCCAAAUUGAAAAGUUUGAGUUUUAAACUUGUCAAAUUAAGUCCUUUGUGGAGCUCAGCCUCCAUUUGGAAUUGUUUACUAGAGCAUUUUGGAGACUGAGCUCCAUGGAGCCCUUAAAUCCUUAAUUUUGACGCACUUCCCGUCAAUGGCAGGGGUGAUGCACAGAGUGCUUGGAUGGGCCGGCUCACCAUAGAGUGAUUUUUUGCUCAGUUUUUUCUUCAAUUUUCAACAGGUUUUCCUCACAAAACUAGCUGUUGGACCUUUUACAUAUUAAAAAUAAAAUUCCGAUAUGAAAAUCUUCAGAAAUUUUAAAAAUGUUUGCAUUUUUUAAAUAUUCAUAAUUCAUUUCUAAAAAAUCAUGAACUUUAACAAUAUCCAUGGAGAACAACGGGAAUCAAAACUUUUAGUCUUCAGCGACGCCGCACCAAGCAUCAUCGAUACGAGUUUGGAGCCGGAGGACGUCUAUUCGAGAUUCAUUUCCUGCCCUUAUAUUGUCUAUUUCCCGCGGAAAGAAAUUAAACAAUGAUAUUCGCAAUCUUUUGUAUGUAUUAGUCAUUAGUAAUAAGAUCAAGGUGAUUUUCUCGGAAAUCAAGAAUUAUUCAGUUUAAAAAAUUGUAGAAUUAGUGUAAAAAACACUCGUCAUCACCACAUUGACGAUUCCAGGAAACAAUUAAAAAUAAAAAGAAGAGGGACAAUAGCAUUAUACCAUUUUUCAUCCUAACAUGAAAACAUAUAAUGCACAAAGGUUGUUGAGGUGUUCUACAAAUUUCAGAAGUUCAAUGCACAAAGGAGCGGCUUGGUUUGUACUUCACAGAGCAAUUGGCUAGAUGUUCCGAGGAUUCGAAUUUGUACCUCGAGUUGUUUCUCAAACAGCCAUCUCUGUGGUCGAAGAGGGUCGUUUAACUCCGUGUAAGCAUUGCAUGACCAAAAUACGUUAGCAGCUCACGACAAAACACAUAGACGCUAUCCUUUGACGCUGUGGUCGGGCUCUUCCCUAGUUUUAUUUUCAAAUUUUGAGCUGACCAUGGAAGUGUUAGAGCAUCUCCACCCAGCCCCUCAAGAUGCCCCUCCCAUAGGCUUUUUUUAACGCCGACAGUGGAAAAUUACCCCAAUCAUGCCCCUAGUUUUUUUAACUUAGCAGCUCACGGCAAAACACAUAGACGCUAUCCUCUGACGCUGCGGCCGGACUCUUCCCUAGUUUUAUUUUCAAAUUUUGAGCUGACGAUGUAAGUGUUAGAGCAUCUCCACCCAGCCGCCAGGAUGCCCCUCUCAUAGGCUUUUUUUAGCGCCGACAGUGGAAAAUUACCCCAAUCACGCCCCCACUAUCUUGUUUUGCGCCGGAUUUGGCCAAAAUAACAUCCGCCGAUCCCAACCCAAAACCAGGGAGGGGUCCACCGACGCUAUUAUUUGCAUGCAACAAGCCCACUGUCAGCCUCUCACUCCCUCUCACCCACUUCAUCUCUUUUUCCUCUCAUCUCUCUUGUCUUCUAGUGUUGGGGGAGGGCAUAUGACCCCCCGGGCCAAUUUUUUCGUUUGCAUGACCUAAACUGGCUGAAAAAAUGGCUCCUGGGGAGACAAACGAAUGGAGAUACUCUUAUGUAUUCGAGAGUAAUAGUAUAAAGCUAGCCACCACGGCUUUUUAAUAGAAAAAAGGACCACAUAGAUGGUAUACACCACUUUGCAUACCGCACUAGUGGUUGGGGCGCACCUUUGGUGCGCCGCUUGAGCGGAAGCUCUCCGGAGCCGGCCAUGUAGGUGCCGACCAUUUCGAUUUCUUUUUUUUGGGUGUGUUUGGCACAUAGCUGGCCUCCAACAAAAUGGACGAGCUUAACUACAAUCAGUAGCAUCAGUAGCAAUUAAUAAGGCUUGUAAUGUUCCACUUGCUAUUAUCUCCAAUGGCGUGACGUCAAACUUCAUUAAAAUACAGAGAAGAUUUUACAGGAUAAGUUAUAAGAGAACAUGAAUUUAGAGGGUCAAUUUUCAAGAAAACAAUGAUGCAACUCUAUACAUAGCCUCAGAGAUCAUGAUGAUUACACUACCCACAUAAUACACUCUCACCAGGGAGAAAACAACAGGAACAUGAUUCAAAACAAGAAAGGCAGCUUGCAGCUCUCCAGGAUACCUCAUCAAUAAUAUAGCCUCAAACUCCAGUAAAAUUCUAUUCUGUCAAAGAUCCUGGCAUUGUUCUUUCCAAAAAAUCAUCUGUCCACUGAUGUUGUUUUCAGACAGCUCCCUAUGACGAUGCGAAGAUCCAUCGUUAUGCGGGAUUUUUUGUGUAAUUUCACAAGUUUGCACUCGGUACCAAGAUGCAGUAGUACUUAUAGGUUGCAAAUGGAAUGACGUGCCGCACAAAGCAUUAACUCGAAAGUACCUGAACAACAAAAUCACGCCUUCCACAAUCCAGGAACAUGUCUACAGUCCAAUUAACUCCUGAUCUUAUUUAGUUGUCAAAAAGAACUCUUGAUCUUAUUUUAUCCCUCGCUGCGCUAAAGCUUAGCUGAUCUCUUGAGGUGGAACGAUCAACUUCAUUGAACCAAAGGCAUGUGAAUAGAUUGGUGAUGGGUAUGUGCUCUCCUAUAAUUACACAGCCCUCGGGGACAUCUGUUCAAGAAAAAUGUAUCGCUUAUGUUCUCAGGAGAAAUAUUUCUAUAUCAGAAUUCAGCGAGAAGAACCAUUACCGCUUGUAAUAAGGAACUUAGCUGAUGAAUAAUGGGUUAAACCCUCUCUCUUGUAGAACUCUAUUUGGUUAUCGAUUGAAGCAUUAUCAUACUUCCCACCAGCCUUGUUGGCCUCAGCUUCCUCAAGGACAUCAAAGAGUCUAUAAUGCCUGGAAAUAGCGAAGCGCACAUUUUUCCUCCACAAGAAUCUGCGGCAUGACAAUGUAUACAAAAUCAAAAUAAUAAGAAGUCAAAAUCUAGAUAAGAGUAGACUUAACAUUAAAGUGAGAAUAUGGUGCAGCUUGAAUCUCUUAAUACAACAGAUAGAGCAUAAGUGGCACUGGCAACAAGCAAACUUACUUUUUGACGGCAUGCUUUCAUUGAGUUGUGUGCAAAGUAGUUUAUAAGUAGCAGACGGAGGUCAGUGAGAGAACGUGAUGUUUACCUCUCUAACAACUGAUAAGGAUCCUUCACAAGUUUAAGUUUCCCAUCGAUCCAGAGUGAAUACCGCACAUCAGGAAAGAGUCGAUGAAGUAAUAGUUUUGGAACCUGUUUGAGGAAAAUAUCACAAGGUAUUCAGUUAAAAAAUUAUCACAAGGAAAAUACACGAUUAGGAAAACAAUUCGCUCAUGCUGAUUCGCAUUAAGCAUGGCAUACUCUUGCCUUUCAACAGAACAGAAAAUUGAUUGUGGAGUCGAGAAACUUUUCACAUACUGACCCAAUGCAGAAAAGAAUGAAAACAUGUUGGAUCAGUUAUCUAGAUAAGAGCACAUGUUGCUUUUAGAAGAUUGUGUAGAAUUAUCGUUACAACUACUCCCUCUGUCCCAGAAUAUAAGAACGUUUUUGACACUAUCAAUAGUGUCAAAAACGUUCUUAUAUUUUGGGACGGAGGAAGUAACUUUUAGUUUACAUCGCUUGUGCACAAUCUCCAUGCCAGAAGUGUUGGAAAUAUGCCCUAGAGGCAAUAAUAAAAUGGUUAUUAUUAUAUUUCUUUGUUCAUGAUAAUUGUCUAUUGUUCAUGCUAUAAUUGUGUUACCUAGUGAGCCUCUAGUUGACUAGCUCGUUGAUCAAAAAAUAGUCAUGGUUUCCUGACUAUGGACAUUGGAUGUCAUUGAUAACGGGAUCACAUCAUUAGGAGAAUGAUGUGAUGGACAAGACCCAAUCCUAAGCUUAGCUCAAAGAUCGUGUAGUUCGUUUGCUGUAGCUUUUCUGAAUGUCAAGUAUCAUUUCCUUAGACCAUGAGAUUGUGCAACUCCCGGAUACCGUAGGAGUGCCUUGGGUGUGCCAAACGUCAAAACGUAACUAGGUGACUAUAAAGGUACAUUACAGGUAUCUCCGAAAGUGUCUGUUGGGUUGGCACGAAUCGAGACUAGGAUUUGUCACUCCGUAUGACGGCGAGGUAUCUCUGGGCCCACUCGGUAAUGCAUCAUCAUAAUGAGCUCAAUGUGAUCAAGUGGUUGAUCACGGGAUCAUGCAUUACGGUACGAGUAAAGUGACUUGCCGGUAACGAGACCGAACAAGGUAUUGGGAUACCGACGAUCGAGUCCCGGGAAAGUAACGUACCGAUUAACAAAGAGAAUUGUAUACGGAUUGAUUGAAUCCUCGACAUCGUGGUUCAUCCGAUGAGAUCAUCGUGGAGCAUGUGGGAGCCAACAUGGGUAUCCAGAUCCCGCUGUUGGUUAUUGACCGGAGAGGCUUCUCGGUCAUGUUUGCAUGUCUCCCGAACCCGUAGGGUCUACACACUUAAGGUUCGGUGACACUAGGGUUGUAGAGAUAUUAGCGCACGCUAACCCUUCGGAGUCCCGGAUGAGAUCCCGGACGUCACGAGGAGUUCCGGAAUGGUCCAGAGGUAAAGAUUCAUAUAUAGGAAGUCCAGUUUCGGUCAUCGGGAAAGUUUCGGGGGUCACCGGUAUUGUACUGGCACCACCGGAAGGGUUCCGGGGGUCCACCGGGUGGGGCCACCUAUCCCAGAGGGCCCCAUGGGCUGAAGUGGGAGGGAACCAGCCCCUAGUGGGCUGGUGCGUCCCCCUUGGGCCUCCCCCUGCGCCUAGGGUUAGGGGUGGGGGCGCCACCCUUGCCUUGGGGGGCAAGGCACCCCCUUGGCCGCCGCCCCCCCUAGGAGAUUGGAUCUCCUAGGGCCAGCGCCCCCCCUAGGCACCCUAUAUAUAGUGGGGGGGAGGGAGGGCUGCGCACCCAAGCCCCUGGCCUCUCCCUCUCCCUCCCGUGACACUCCUCCAUCUCCCUUGCGCUUGGCGAAGCCCUGCCGAGAUCACCGUUGCUUCCACCACCACGCCGUCGUGCUGCUGGAUCUUCAUCAACCUCUCCUUCCCCCUUGCUGGAUCAAGUUGGAGGAGACGUCUUCCCAACCGUACGUGUGUUGGACGCGGAGGUGCUGUCCGUUCGGCACUUGGUCAUCGGUGAUUUGAAUCACGUCGAGUACGACUCCAUCAACCCCGUUCUCUUGAACUCUUCCGCUCGUGAUCUACAAGGGUAUGUAGAUGCACUCCUCUUUCCCUCGUUGAUAGAUGACUCCAUAGAUUGAUCUUGGUGAUGCGUAGAAAAUUUUAAAAUUCUGCUACGUUCCCCAACAGUGGCAUCAUGAGCUAGGUCUAUGCGUAGUUACUAUGCACGAGUAGAACACAAAGUAGUUGUGGGCGUCGAUAUUGUCAAUUAUCUUACCGUUACUAGUCUUAUCUUGAUUCGGCGACAUCGUGGGAUGAAGCGGCCCGGACCAACCUUACAUGUACGCUUACGUGAGACCGGUUACACCGACUGACAUGCACUAGUUGCAUAAGGUGGCUGGCGGGUGUCUGUCUCUCCCACUUUAGUCGGUUCGGAUUCGAUGAACAGGGUCCUUAUGAAGGGUAAAUAGAAAUUGGCAAUUCACGUUGUGGUUUUGGCGUAGGUAAGAAACGUUCUUGCUAGAAACCUAUAGCAGCCACGUAAAAACUUGCAACAACAAUUAGAGGACGUCUAACUUGUUUUUGCAGCAAGUGUUUUGUGAUGUGAUAUGGCCAAAGGAUGUGAUGAAUGAUAUAUGUGAUGUAUGAGAUGAUCAUGUUCUUGUAAUAGGAAUCACGACUUGCAUGUCGAUGAGUAUGACAACCGGCAGGAGCCAUAGGAGUUGUCUUUAUUUAUUUAUGACCUGCGUGUCAACAUAAACGUCAUGUAAUUACUUUACUUUAUUGCUAAAGCGUUAGCCAUAGUAGUAGAAGUAAUAGAUGACGAGACAACUUCAAGAAGACACGAUGAUGGAGAUCAUGAUGAUGGAGAUCAUGGUGUCAUGCCGGUGACAACGAUGAUCAUGGAGCCCCGAAGAUGGAGAUCAAAGGAGCAAAUGAUAUUGGCCAUAUCAUGUCACUACUUGAUUGCAUGUGAUGUUUAUCAUGUUUUACAUCUUAUUUGCUUAGAACGACGGUAGCUUAAAUAAGAUGAUCCCUCGAAAAAAUUUCAAGAAAGUGUUCCCCCUAACUGUGCACCAUUGCGAAGGUUCGUUGUUUUGAAGCACCACGUGAUGAUCGGGUGUGAUAGAUUCUAACGUUCGAAUACAAUGGGUGUAAGACAAAUUUACACACGCAAUACACUUAGGUUGACUUGACGAGCCUAGCAUGUACAGACAUGGCCUCGGAACACAGAAGAUACGAUCAACAUGAAGAUGUUCACCGAUGUUGACUAGUCCGUCUCACAUGAUGAUCGGACACGGCCUAGUUAACUCGGAUCAUGUUAUACUUAGAUGACUAGAGGGAUGUCUAUCUGAGUGGGAGUUCAUUGAAUAAUUUGAUUAGAUGAACUUAAUUAUCAUGAACUUAGUCUAAAAUCUUUACAAUAUGUCUUGUAGAUCAAAUGGCCAACGUUGUCCUCAACUUCAAUGCGUUCCUAGAGAAAACCAAGCUGAAAGACGAUGACAGCAACUAUACGGACUGGGUCCAGAACCUGAGGAUCAUCCUCAUAGCUGCCAAGAAAGAUUAUGUCCUAGAAGCACCGCUAGGUGACGCACCAGUCCCACAGAACCAAGACAUUAUGAAUGCUUGGCAGACACGUGCUGAUGAUUACUCCCUCGUUCAGUGCGGCAUGCUUUACAACUUAGAACCGGGGCUCCAAAAGCGUUUUGAGAGACAUGGAGCAUAUGAGAUGUUCGAAGAGCUGAAAAUGGUUUUUCAAGCUCAUACCCGGGUCGAGAGAUAUGAAGUCUCCGACAAGUUCUUCAGCUGUAAGAUGGAGGAAAAUAGUUCUGUCAGUGAGCACAUACUCAAAAUGUCUAGGUUGCAUAACCGCUUGACUCAGCUGGGAAUUAAUCUCCCAGAUGACGCGGUCAUUGACAGAAUCCUUCAGUCGCUUCCACCGAGCUACAAGAGCUUUGUGAUGAAUUUCAAUAUGCAGGGGAUGGAAAAGACCAUUCCUGAAGUAUUUGCAAUGCUGAAAUCAGCAGAGGUAGAAGUCAAAAGGAACAUAAGUGUUGAUGGUGAAUAAAACCACUAAGUUCAAGAAAGGCAAGGGUAAGAAGAACUUCAAGAAGGACGGCAAGGGAGUUGCUGCCCGGUAAGCAAGCUGCCGGGAAGAAGCCAAAGAAUGGACCCAAGCUCGGGACUGAGUGCUUUUAUUGCAAGGAAAGUGGUCACUGGAAGCGGAACUACCCCAAAUACUUAGCGGACAAGAAGGCCGGCAUCACGAAAGGUAUAUGUGAUAUACAUGUAAUUGAUGUGUACCUUACCAGUACUCGUAGUAGCUCCUGGGUAUUUGAUACCGGUGCGGUUGCUCACAUUUGUAACUCAAAGCAGGAGCUGCGGAAUAAGCAGAGACUGACGAAGGACGAGGUGACGAUGCGCGUUAGGAAUGGUUCCAAGGUCGAUGUGAUCGCCGUCGGCACGCUACCUCUACAUUUACCUACGGGAUUAGUUUUAAACCUCAAUAAUUGUUAUUUAGUGCCAGCUUUGAGCAUGAACAUUGUAUCAGGAUCUCGUUUAAUACGAGAUGGCUACUCAUUUAAAUCCGAGAAUAAUGGUUGUUCUAUUUAUAUGAGAGAUAUAUUUUAUGGUCAUGCUCCGAUGGUGAAUGGUUUAUUCUUAAUGAAUCUCGAGCGUAAUGCUACACAUAUUCAUAGUGUGAACACCAAAAGAUGUAAGGUUUAUAAUGAUAGUCCCACAUAUUUGUGGCACUGCCGCCUUGGUCACAUAGGUGUCAAACGCAUGAAGAAGCUCCAUGCAGAUGGACUUUUAGAAUCUCUUGAUUACGAAUCAUUUGACACGUGCGAACCAUGCCUCAUGGGUAAAAUGACCAAGACUCCGUUCUCAGGAACAAUGGAGCGAGCAACCAACUUAUUGGAAAUCAUACAUACUGAUGUGUGCGGUCCAAUGAGUGUUGAGGCUCGCGGUGGCUAUCGUUAUGUUCUCACCCUCACUGAUGACUUGAGUAGAUAUGGGUAUGUCUACUUAAUGAAACACAAGUCUGAGACCUUUGAAAAGUUCAAGAAAUUUCAGAGUGAGGUUGAGAAUCAACGUGACAGGAAAAUCAAGUUCUUGCGAUCAGAUCGUGGCGGAGAAUACUUGAGUCACGAAUUUGGCACACACUUAAGGAAAUGUGGAAUAGUUUCACAACUAACGCCGCCUAGAACACCUCAGCGUAAUGGUGUGUCCGAACGUCGUAAUCGCACUCUAUUAGAUAUUGUGCGAUCUAUGAUGUCUCUUACCGAUUUACCGCUAUCAUUUUGGAGCUAUGCUUUAGAGACUGCCGCAUUCACUUUAAAUAGGGCUCCGUCGAAAUCCGUUGAGACGACACCGUAUGAAUUAUGGUUUGGGAAGAAACCUAAGCUGUCGUUUCUAAAAGUUUGGGGAUGCGAUGCUUAUGUCAAGAAACUUCAACCUGAAAAGCUCGAACCCAAAUCGGAAAAAUGCGUCUUCAUAGGAUACCCUAAAGAAACUGUUGGGUAUACCUUCUACCUCAGAUCCGAAGGCAAGAUCUUUGUUGCCAAGAAUGGGUCCUUUCUAGAGAAAGAGUUUCUCUCGAAAGAAAUAAGUGGGAGGAAAGUAGAACUUGAUGAAGUAUUACCUCUUGAACCGGUAAAUGGCGCAGCUCAAGAAAAUGUUCCUGAGGUGCCUGCACCGACUAGAGGAAGUUGAUGAUGAUCAUGAAACUUCAGAUCAAGUUGCUACUGAACUUCGUAGGUCCACAAAGACACGUUCCGCACCAGAGUGAUAUGGCAACCCUAUCUUGGAAAUCAUGUUGUUAGACAACGGUGAACCUUCGAACUAUGAAGAAGCGAUGGCGGGCCCGGAUUCCGACAAAUGGCUGGAAGCCAUGAAAUCCGAGAUAGGAUCCAUGUAUGAAAACGAAGUAUGGACUUUGACUGACUUGCCCGUUGAUCGGCGAGCCAUAGAAAAUAAAUGGAUCUUUAAGAAGAAGACAAACGCGGAUGGUAAUGUGAUCAUCUAUAAAGCUCGGCUUGUCGCUAAGGGUUAUGGACAAGUUCAAGGGGUUGACUAUGAUGAGACUUUCUCACCCGUAGCGAAGCUGAAGUCCGUCCGAAUCAUGUUAGCAAUUGCCGCAUUCUAUGAUUAUGAGAUAUGGCAAAUGGACGUCAAAACGACAUUCCUUAAUGGUUUCCUUAAGGAAGAAUUGUAUAUGAUGCAGCCGGAAGGUUUUGUCGAUCCUAAGAAUGCUGACAAGGUGUGCAAGCUCCAACGCUCGAUUUAUGGGCUGGUGCAAGCAUCUCGGAGUUGGAACAUUCGCUUUGAUGAGAUGAUCAAAGCGUUUGGGUUUAUGCAGACCUAUGGAGAAGUCUGCAUUUACAAGAAAGUGAGUGGGAGCUCUAUAGCAUUUCUCAUAUUGUAUGUGGAUGACAUACUGUUGAUGGGAAAUGAUAUAGAAUUCUUGGAAAGCAUAAAGGCCUACUUGAACAAGUGUUUUUCAAUGAAGGACCUUGGAGAAGCUGCUUAUAUAUUAGGCAUCAAGAUUUAUAGAGAUAGAUCAAGACGCCUCAUUGGUCUUUCAUAGAGUACGUACCUUGACAAGAUAUUGAAGAAGUUCAAAAUGGAUCAGUCAAAGAAGGGGUUCUUGCCUGUAUUGCAAGGUACGAGAUUGAGCAUGGCUCAAUGCCCAACCACGGCAGAAGAUAGAGAAAAGAUGAGUGUCGUCCCCUAUGCCUCGGCCAUAUGGUCUAUCAUGUAUGCUAUGCUGUGUACCAGACCUGAUGUAAACCUUGCCGUAAGUUUGGUAGGAAGGUACCAAAGUAAUCCCGGCAUGGAACACUGGACAGCGGUCAAGAAUAUCCUGAAGUACCUGAAAAGGACCAAGGAUAUGUUUCUCGUUUAUGGAUGUGGCGAAGAGCUCGUCGUAAAGGGUUACGUCGACGCUAGCUUCGACACAGAUCUGGAUGACUCUAAGUCACAAACCGGAUACGUGUAUAUUUUGAAUGGUGGGGCAGUAAGCUGGUGCAGUUGCAAGCAAAGCGUCGUGGCGGGAUCUACAUGUGAAGCAGAAUACAUGGCAGCCUCGGAUGCAGCACAAGAAGCAAUCUGGGUGAAGGAGUUCAUCACCGACCUAGGAGUCAUACCCAAUGCGUCGGGGCCGAUGACUCUCUUCUGUGACAACACUGGAGCUAUUGCCCUUGCCAAGGAGCCCAUGUUUCACAGGAAGACCAAGCAUAUCAAGCGUCGCUUCAACUCCAUUCAUGAAAGUGUUCAAAAUGAAGACAUAGAGGUUUGUAAAGUACAUACAGACCUGAAUGUAGCAGAUCCGUUGACUAAACCUCUCCCUAGAGCAAAACAUGAUCAACACCAGAACUGCAUGGGUGUUCGAUUCAUCACAAUGUAACUAGAAUAUUGACUAGUGCAAGUGGGAGACUGUUGGAAAUAUGCCCUAGAGGCAAUAAUAAAAUGGUUAUUAUUAUAUUUCUUUGUUCAUAAUAAUUGUCUAUUGUUCAUGCUAUAAUUGUGUUAUCCGGAAAUCGUAAUACAUGUGUGAAUACAUAGACCACAACACGUCCCUAGUGAGACUCUAGUUGACUAGCUCGUUGAUCAAAAGAUAGUCAUGGUUUCCUGACUAUGGACAUUGGAUGUCAUUGAUAACGGGAUCACAUCAUUAGAAGAAUGAUGUGAUGGACAAGACCCAAUCCUAAGCUUAGCUCAAAGAUCGUGUAGUUCGUUUGCUGUAGCUUUUCUGAAUGUCAAGUAUCAUUUCCUUAGACCAUGAGAUUGUGCAACUCCCGGAUACCGUAGGAGUGCCUUAGGUGUGCCAAACGUCACAACGUAACUGGGUGACUAUAAAGGUACAUUACAGGUAUCUCCGAAAGUGUCUGUUGGGUUGGCACGAAUCGAGACUGGGAUUUGUCACUCCGUAUGACGGAGAGGUAUCUCUGGGCCCACUCGGUAAUGCAUCAUCAUAAUGAGCUCAAUGUGAUCAAGUGGUUGAUCACGGGAUCAUGCAUUACGGUAUGAGUAAAGUGACUUGCCGGUAACGAGACUGAACAAGGUAUUAGGAUACCGACGAUCGAGUCUCGGGCAAAUAACGUACCGAUUGACAAAGGGAAUUGUAUACGGAUUGAUUGAAUCCUCGACAUCGUGGUUCAUCCGAUGAGAUCAUCGUGGAGCAUGUGGGAGCCAACAUGGGUAUCCAGAUCCAGCUAUUGGUUAUUGACCGGAGAGGCUUCUCUGUCAUGUCUGCAUGUCUCCCGAACCUGUAGGGUCUACACACUUAAGGUUCGGUGACGCUAGGGUUGUAGAGAUAUUAGCACACGGUAACCCGAAAGUUGUUCGGAGUCCCGGAUGAGAUCCCGAACGUCACGAGGAGUUCCGGAAUUGUCCGAAGGUAAAGAUUCAUAUAUAGGAAGUCCAGUUUCGGCCAUCAGAAAGGUUCAGGGGUCACGGUAUUGUACCGGCACCACCGGAAGGGUCCCGGGGGUCCACCGGGUGGGGCCACCUAUCCCGGAGGGCCCCAUGGGCUGAAGUGGGAGGGGAACCAACCCCUAGUUGGCUGGUGCGCCCCCCCUUGGGCCUCCCCUGUGCCUAGGGUUAGAAACCCUAGGGGUGGGGGCGCCACCCUUGCCUUGGGGGACAAGGCACCCCCUUGGCCGCCGCCCCCCUAGGAGAUUGGAUCUCCUAGGGCCGGCGCUCCCCCCCUAGGCACCCUAUAUAUAGUGGGGGGGGGGGAGGAAGGGCUACGCACCCAAGCCCCUGGCCUCUCCCUCUCCCUCCUGUGACACUCCUCCAUCUCCCUUGCGCUUGGCGAAGCCCUACCGAGAUCACCGUUGCUUCCACCACCACGCCGUCGUGCUGCUGGAUCUUCAUCAACAUCUCCUUCCCCCUUGCUGGAUCAAGUUGGAGGAGACGUCUUCCCAACCGUACGUGUGUUGAACACGGAGGUGUUGUCCGUUCGGCACUUGGUCAUCGGUGAUUUGAAUCACGUCGAGUCCAUCAACCCCGUUCUCUUGAACGCUUCCGCUCGUGAUCUACAAGGGUAUCUAGAUGCACUCCUCUUUUCCUCGUUGAUAGAUGACUCCAUUGAUUGAUCUUGGUGAUGCGUAGAAAAUUUUAAAAUUCUGUUACGUUCCCCAACAAGAAGUAACUGGCACCUAAAAGAUUCAGUUAGGAAAAUCAAAUAACUAAAUGUACAGUGCAGCAACGGCGAACCGGCCUCAAAACUCUGUCAAUUCAGUAGUAUUUUUAUUUAUUUUCUUCACAAUGAACUGCACAGUGAUUUUAGGCUAAUUUUGACGAAAGCUGUGGGGUCAGGAUAAGGAAGGUUGUGCACAACAACCACCCGCCACAGCCCGAUUCUUUUCGUAUUAUCAAUGAUCUUCUUUAUUGCAGCUUCAGUUUCAUCCAGAAACAUGAAGCAAACAACAUCUUUUGAAAAUGUACUAAUCUUUUCUGAUUGUUGCAUUAUAUCAUAAUUCCCUGAGAAAAACAAAUAAGAAAGCUCACACACAACGUGCAAUUAGCACCGACAUGGAAACAUGACACCAUGUAAAUAUAAUUGGCAUAGAAAAGAAGAUGCAGUUACCAAAAAUAGCAGAAGCAACUGUCCCCUGGCACUGCCGCAUCUCAUACAGAUCAGCUUCUUCUAGACCGAAUGCAGUAUUGAGACCAUGUAUCUCCCCCCUCAAAAAUCUACUGAAAAGUAGGAAGUACCAAGAGGUUACAUUCAACGGAUGUGGCAUGGAUCAAAGCAUACUCGUUUUUACUUGAUUUGAUGACAUAUCAAUCAGGAAUAAGCAAUAUUAGAAAGCCUACACAUCUCAGCAUCACCAAGAUGUGUAGAUUUCUCCAUUUCUCCUUGAGCAUAAAUAUUAACCUUAGAUUUUUUUACGGAGUCUAUCACCUGCAGUAGGUGUUGAGUGCGUAAAAACAACACAAUACUAAGAGCAUGGCCCCAAUUAUAGCACUGAACAAAAGCUCAAAAAAAAAUUAUAGCACUGAACAAGAUAAUACUGAGAGCAUGGCAGCACAUCAAACAUGAUUAGUUGCAACAUGUGAAGCUAAUUGAAUAAGCAACACCAAAUUAGGCAUAGACCUUUUAAAAAUUCAGUAGGAACCACUGAUUAAAUUAUAAGCAUUGGACCAACAUUAUCUCAUUAAUGCUGAGGGGCACACAAGGAGGUUAUCGUAGCCCCAAGAACACAGGAGCACGGACACGCCCAGUCAGUUGGUACAACUAAAGUCCGAUUUUUUAAUAACCAACAUUGGUUUCAGAUUUUAUAUCGCUCAGACUGCAUAAAAAUAGAGUACACAGGCUGGAUCAUGUUUCCUCAAUCAAAUUAUAGUAAUUGUUCAUGGAAGCAGUCAUAGUGUACAUUGUACACAAAUGCAAUCGUUUCUUUCAGCUUGAAGCAGAGAACCACCAAGAAAAAAGGAGGAGGGAGUAUCAAGCACACAUUUAUCUUGUCAAAAAUCAGAUACUCGGCCUUCAAAUGAGUGCAAGAAAUCUGAACAAUUUACUCAUUAAUGCCAGGUUCCUGCCCACCAAACUGAUUGCAUGGGAAAGUAAGGAACUCAAAACCUGUGGUCGCAUCAAAUUGUAAGCAUAAUAUAUCAUAACUGAAAAUCAAGGACUGAUCAUAUGCAGAUAGAUCAUACCCUGGUCCUUGUACUUCUUGUACAAUUGAGCCAGUUCCAUCUAGUUGGAAUCGGUCUAAGAUACUGUAGUAGUUACAGGAAACGAUUGUCUUUGUUAAUAUAAUAAAAUGGUAAUCCUUUCAGUAUUUACAUCACUUGGCACAUGGAGAAUUAGAUGAAACAAUCAAUGUCACGACACUUAGAUGCGCAAAAAGUCUGGGUGUCCAACUCCAUACCAACUUGAUCAGAGUAGUUUUGUUUGCAUGCAUAGAAAACUUUGAUGCAAAUCGUAAAUGCUGAUCGUAAUGACCCACAAACUACUGAGAUGAUGGGGGUAUUUAGCAGAACAAUAUUUUAACCUUUGAAUUGUGCGAUAUACACAUUUACUCUUCUUUGAUCUAUGGAAUAUACUUUGUGUGUCGGUACUUCUGUUCAACAAAGAAAAGAAGAAGAGAUGUUUGGUUUCAUUUUCAGUGAAGUGGCGAAAUAACCCUAAAGUAGUAUCUGCAAAUGAAUCUUUAGAUGAUAGAUGUUUAGGCCUUCCACUUUCGUAAGCUUCAGAACGCCCUUGGGAGUUGCUUUUGUGUAAGAGAUAUUGAAGUGAACUGUUUAGAGUGGAGAAUAAAAAAUUAUAAAAUACUUGAAAAAAAAGGAAAACCAUCACUCAACUUUCAGGUCCCUCAAGCUUGUUCACAGCCUCUACAGAAUACUGAUGUAGAUCGAGAAGAUGACCAUCGGGUUAUAGUACUGUCCAAAGUCCAAACCACCACUUUGGAAAUCAAAGUGCAAGUUGCCUUACCUGGUCCCGUGCGCCGAGGCAUGACACCAUCGACCCAUUCCUCCCAACCUUGCUUGCAUUCGCGCAUUAUGCCUAAUCACUUAACUGAACUGAACUAAAUGUAGUGGGAUGGGGAUGAAUUAUACUGAGAUGACAGAUUAACAUAGACACAUAGUAGGAGCUUACUUGUUGCCUCUGAUCUUGAACCAGGUCUGCUUUUGGGAGUACGAAAGGUCGCCCUUGCAGGAGGCCGAGCGUGGGACUCAUGUUACUACAGACUGAAAUCAAUCAUCAACAUCACAACAUAUCUUCCAAUAAAUCUGAUCUAUUUGGUCUGCAGCAGGACGAGUGGAGAAUAAAAGAGAAAAAGAAUCCAUCUCACCCGGUGGAUUCUAGGACGUCCAUGCAGAUCUUGUAGCGCCCUUGUGCAGAUCUUCGUUGUAGGCUAGCUGCCGCUCGGCGCUCGGUGGCCAGCGCCUUCGUAGCCAAUCCCCUGAACGCCUCCCCUCACCUGGGAGAAAAUCCGACGAUGGCCCGUUCUUCAAAUUCCCACGUCUGUUAAUUUCUUGUUUAUCGAUGCUGCUCUUCUUCUCUUCCCUCCUUUGAGCAAAAGGAUCAACACCAGGCUCUGUAAUAAAUCAUACUUAGUUAAAAGGGUAACAGAACGCAAACAUGUUUGCACUAACUAUACUGACAAUGAAGACCCAAGAGAUCCAGUCAGUGAUAAAUGAAAAAAAAUUACUGAAGCAAAAGUGUGCAGGUUGUUAAGCAUAUGUGUCAGUGUCACAACACACGACUGCAAUAUUAUGUAAAUCUCGAAAUGAUUGCUACUCGCUAGAUUCAGUUACUCAAAAUGCGAAGAGCAUUGGAGGCUUAAAAAGAACAUUGGACU
Molecule: long non-coding RNA, 45094 nt
Filed under: Triticum aestivum (bread wheat)
Lineage: Eukaryota; Viridiplantae; Streptophyta; Magnoliopsida; Poales; Poaceae
Description: long non-coding RNA (TAES_LNC024749)
Rfam family: MIR1120/MIR1122 microRNA precursor family (bases 33187-33274)
Source: RNAcentral